AAAAAAAAAAAAAAAAAAAACUUUGGCCUCUAAAUUUUAAUAAUACUUUUAAUUUUUAUUCUAUCAUAAUCAGAGACGAUUAUGUAAUUUUUAAAAAGUUGCGGGAGGCCGUGGCCAUUGUGAGCCUCUCAAUAGCUCAGUCACUGUUGUCCUUUUCUACCUUUAUCUUUCAGUUAAAGUGGAAAUAGCCUUGGUAAAUUUUGCAACUAGCAAUGAAUGAAAUUUUUAGAAAACUGCAGAAAUAGCCUUGGUAAAGUUGAGUUCCGCACAAACUGCAAACUGUAAUCGCAUCAUCUGCUAAAGUUUUGUACUGCAGCUGGAGGACAUGCAGAGCAUGUUGGCUGGCGCCAGCAUAUUUUUGAAAAAUUAAUCUGAGAAGUAGUUACCACCGCUUUAUUCUAAUUCGAUCUGGAGAUGAGUGGAAGACCAUUUCAAAGAAGCGAGACGGCUUCUAUGAAUGGCUAGCCUCAAAGAGAGGGAGAGAAAAAAAAAAUAAAAAACUUCAUUAGUUUUUGCCCGAAGGGCAGCUCUACGUCUCCCAAGAAGAAUUCUAGACAAUAUUUUAAAAAUCAGAUCGAACAGUGUCCUAAGAAUAUUACUGGAUCAAGAGUCACUGAUUCAAUAAACACUAAUUGAACCAGUCACUUCAACAUGACGUCAUAAAUACUUGAUUAUUAUUUUUAGUUUUAUUAUAAAGAUAUAUGUAUUAUUCUAGUAUCGUAUUUACUUAAAAAAUACUGAGUUUUAGACCAAAUUAAGUAGACAUAAGUUUUUUUAAGACUAGUAUAUGAUAAUAGAAAAUAAAAUCAUUGAUUUCUAAGCCGUUGGAUUUUACUAUAACUUAGAUCAAACGGCCAAGUUUAAUUAAAACCAGAGCGGUUCACUGGUUCGAUAGUUGAACCGUCGAAUGAAAUAGUUAAAAACAGUUCUUUGACUUAUCUCAUUGAAAGGGUGAACUGAACUGAACUGAACUGCUUCCAAGAAUGCUCUAAAGAAUGCAAAAGGCCAGAUUGCCUAGGUAACCAAGAAAAAGGGAACGGCGGGCGCUACCUUACCACUCUUUCCGAUGGCAAUGAUCGGAAAAAAGGAAGGUGUGUGGUUGAUGUGUCACUAGGUCGGCCCGGGAUACGACCUGCCGGAUUCACAACAGAAAUCGCCAACAUGAACACAAUCGAUGCUCGAUUGCGUUCCUACUCCAUUCUAUUCUCCAGUGAAAUCUCAUAGAAUGCCGAUGGAAUACAUUUUGGAAAGAAAACUAUUUAGUACUUUGGCCUCCUAGUGUUUGUUUCAUCGAAAGUGGAGAGGAAUGAAAUAACUUUUUAUUGUUUACUGUAACUUUACCUUCGGUCGAAACUCAGACUCCUCAAAAUGCCAUACUUGUUAAAAAAAAGAAGAAAAUAAUAAAAUAUUAAUCUAUCUCUCAUAUUUUCGAUUGUGUUCAUGUUUUUCAAAACAGCGCAAUUUCAAAAUAAGAUUGCGCUGUUUGAAAAGAAUGUUGCACUCUUUGAGACGAAAAUUAUAUUUUUUGAUACGAAAAUUGCACUCCUUAACCGAUAGUUAUACUUUUUUAAAAAAAGUUGCACUUUUUAUUCCGAUAAUGCAAAUUAACAAUUAAAUGAUUAAUAAUGGUGUGGCAUUACCUACAGCGGCCAAACAUCAUUUGAAGUCUUGUCGAGCGCCCGGACGUGCCUGUCGAGCAACCGGAGACACGCCUCAGCCUUAGGCGGCACCCGGGUGCGGGCACGCCGUCGAGCGCCCGGAGCAGCGACUAAUGAGCAAUCCCCUAUCCAUGGAUGGGUGGGGAAUAGGAUGUACACUCAUCUUUCGGUGUACAAUUAGCUUUUUCCAACUUUUAUAUAAAAUAUUCCAAAUUGAUCCCCGUACUUUUAUUUCAAUCACAUAUUGGACUUUUUUACAAAAUAGCCCUCUAAAAUUUUGGUAUUUGCGAAAUAACUCUACCAAAAUUAUAUUUGAAAAAUUAAUCCUCUUUUUUCCAUGUAGGUGCCACGGUUGAAUUUUCUCUUAAAUACGGUGAAUAAUUUACCGUUUUGCGGUGAAUCCUUUACCAUCUUUCACUUAUUUACUGUUUCUUUUUAUAUCACAUAUAUAAUCCUAACAACCACAUAAAUAUUUUAAUAAAUCACAUAUAGUCUUAACAACCUGAAAAUUUUAAUAAUUUAUCAUACAAUCCUAAUAAUCAAAAAAAUCCUAAUAAUCUAUCCAUAUAAUCCUAAUAAUCAAAUAUCACAUAUAAUCUUAACCGCUUGAAAAUCUUAAUAAUCUAUUCAUACAAUCCUUAUAAUAAAAAAAUUCUAAUAACUUAUCCAUACAAUCCUAACAAUCAAAUAAAAAUUCUAAUAAUCUAUAUACGUACAAUUUUAACAACCUCAAACAACCUCACUUGUUUUCUUUUUUCCAUAUAUAAUCCUCGCCGUUAAAAAUUAUGAAGAAGGCGGUAAAUCGUUAACGAUCUUUAUAAAUACAGCAAACGAUUCACUAUCUUUAAAAGACAUCGGAGACUUUUAGUUUGCCGGAUAUAAAUUUGGCAUACUCAUUUUGCAAAUUAUAAAAUUUUAGAGAGUUAUUUUGAAAAAAAAAAAAUCCCCCACAUUUGUCAAUACCAUCUGAACUUACUCAUUGCCAAAUAAACAUUUUGGAGCCUUCGAGUUAACUGAGGCACGCGAAUCAUUUAUUACAUCGUAUCAAAUAGCAAUUUUACGCCGAGAAGCUCAGGUGCUCAGGUAAAAGUAGAGGGUGAUCAAACCGGACAACAGCGACUACCCAGAGAACAAAAAAAGAGUUGCGGAGCAAAUCUACACCCCAUAAGCCGACUUCGAAGAGAUCAGGUGGCAUGCCAACUACAAAAACAAAAUACUACACAUACGAUGAGUAGACAAGAACUACAGAUCGGAGAUAAGUGGGGGUUUAAACCGAAAAGGCGGUAACUAAGUCAUUUCCUCAGAGUAGGAACUCUCCAAGCUACACCUCCACAUCUAUGUGUACAUAUAUUGGUACUCCAUAAAAGCAAGGCACAAACUGAUACAUUUAGUAAAUAGCAAGAGAGAGAGAGAGAGAGAGCUUCCUUCGGCCCUUCGUGACCGAAGCAAAGAAAAGGCGGGGGGAACGAAAUCAUAAGAUCUUUUAGAACUUGAAAUCCUUCUUUUUUGAUUUGCCCUCCUUCUCCUGCUUCCUCUUCCUCUUGUUCGCGUUCUCCGCCACCAUGUCGCUGAAAUCCUCUUUCUGAUUGCGUAGCUUCUCCUCCUCUCGCGCCUCCGCGUACCUGCACGCCGUUAAUGAGCGGAAAUCGGAUGAGAAUUUGCAGCAGCAUAUCAAAGUAUGCAAGAUGCAAGUUCGUCGGAAUCUUACUUGGCCGGCAAAACAUCGUCCAUAACUUCAAGCUCCUCAGGUUGUAUAGUGACGUCCACUUUGUCGGCCUUUUGUCCUCGCAAUAGAUCAACCUAUGUAGAGAUUUACAUUCAAGGGAAAAAAACAGAAAAAUAAAAAAAGAAGUCGUCAUAAGAUGCAAAUAUGAAAAUUCACAAGGCAUAUUCAUAGAAGUGAAAAUAAAAGGAAAAGGACGCGGAUAAGAAAGGGACCCUACCCUUUUAGCAGCUGUUUUGUCUUGUUGCCCAAGCACGUACCUAUUAUACGAAAAAGAACAAAGAAAAUCAGCAAUAUGUUUGCUGUGCGCAUUUUGAAACCCAAUUUGUUAAAGUAUUACUAGCAAGUAAGCUUGUACAUUACAAAAUACAUGUUUAGAAAGAGAUACAUACGUGUGAGUUGUUCCGAGUAGUGUUCCGGGUGCAACCGCUUCUUCUUUCUCUUCGAGAACCUACAGAAUUGGUAGAUUCGAAUAAUUUAGUAAAUCUAGUCACUGAAUUAGGAAAAGGGAAAUGUAGCUGAAAGAUAAGAAAACAUGAAGUCAAAAAAGAAUGCAACAGCUUUUACCUGGUACAGGGGCUUCUCUGGCUCCUUUCUCUGUUGCUUCCGGAGGUCGAUAACAUCAGGUGUUUCCACGCCAGUGGGAGUACUGAACAUAAAAAGGAGAAGCAUUAGAGAGAUCCCAAUGUCUUUCUUUAAUUGUCACUUUCCAGAAGAAAGUAAAGGCAAAUGUUAAUAUUAUUAAUUAAUAAUAAAUACCUCGAGAGGCUAUCAACGGAUUGAAUGCCCGCCUCCAGCUCCUCUUCCUCCAUCUCUUCUUCUUCCUCUUCCUCCUCCUCCUCCUCUUCCUCCUCCAAAUCUCCCCAGUGCUUGCUCCGAUCAACCGGCUCUUCCUGAAAUGGAAAAUCACCACGCAAUCUCAGUCAAGAGAAACACAAAAACAUCACCGAACUCUGUAGAAUCUUUUGGACAUUCCAUUUUUACCAGCGUAAGUCAUGUAUUCACACGCAUGCCCCUUGAAAAUGGAGUCCAUUAACAUCUCUCCCUUAUUUUCAAGUCGAGAAGUCAUCCCAUCCAACACGGGGAAUGGGCAUAAUAAAAUGUCUUCUAAAGAAGUGCAUUUUUGCACAUAACAGGGUAUAUACGUAAAAAACCAAGUUUUUUGAGGGCAUAUAUGAUAAGUUAAAGAAGUUUUGCAAGGGUUUAAAUAUAUAUCUACCUCAUAAUUGGGUUGCUCCUGCUGUUGGACUCCGAAAACAUCGCCAUACAACGGACGGCCAAACUGUUCAUAGACAAUGGAAGGAGCUCAGAAGAAUAUAUAGAAUAGUAAAACAGCUAAAUUGUAACACAAAAGGAAAUGGCAACUAAAGAGGUAAUUGUAAUUUACUUCGUCAACGGGCGGUUUGCCCCAACCUCCUGGGUGAUAACCAAAGCUAGCUCCUGGAGGAAUAGGAGCAUUUAGUCCGGGUAUCUUCAGUUGCGGGUAAGAUGGUGGCGGGCCAUACCUCUGCAAAUUUUGUGUUUCUGUUGAUUUAGUUGGAAAGACACAAGGGCGUUGUUGACAGGGAAAUCAAAGGGACAGUUUGGCAACUUACUUGCAUGUUGAUAAGCCAUGGAGGUGGGGCACCAUCAGGCAUACCGAGAGCUUCUUUGAGUUCUCGAGACAAAGUACCUGGCUUCAUCUCCCUAAGCUUGACCUAUACAAUUGCAGAAAACCACGAUUAGGGUGCUACUUUGUUAGUAACCACAAAAUACAGGGAAACUAGCACAAGGUAGAACAUCAAACAAAGACUCGUAGAUCCAUGAAUCAAUAAGCUGAGGAAUGGGAAUAUAAGAGAGUGAUUGAGAGAGUUUUGCAUAGGUGCAUAUCACAUACAACUCUAAAUCCUAUACACAUGCUGUAGCUCUAUCGCAUAAACCUGUCUUAAAAUCUCCAAAUUGCUCUGUCACAUUACUUUGCUACUUGGACAACAUAAUGCAGAAGCAACGGAGCACAAUUAGGGAUGCAAAUGGAUCCGGGUUGGUGGAGCUCCGCCCCGAUCUGCCCCGAAUGGGGUGGUAAGUGGGAACAAAAAAUAUAAAAAAAUAUAACCCGCCCCGAAUCCGCCCCGAUCCGCCAAGUAAAUGGAGCGGGAGGUGGGAGACUCUUUUCUUCCUUCAAUCUGCCCCGAUCCGUCAAAAAUCCGGCUCCCGCCCCGAUCCGCCCCGAAUGGAGCGGUAAGUGGGAGCCAAAAAUAAAAUGAAAAGUAACCCGCCCCGAAUCCGCCCCGCCCCGAUAAGAAAUGGAGCGGGAGGUGGGGGAACUCUCCCGCCCCCGGAUCCGCUCCGUUUGCAUCCCUAAGCACAAUUUUGUUUGAGACGUAUUUCAUAUCUUGUAGAUAGAUCCCAAUGGCAACACAUUAGCAAUGACCUUUGUCUUUUGAUAUCAACAAAUGCCCUAACUCUAUAUCGUACUUCAUAUGUAUCAUUGCACACUGCAUAUUCAUGAGUGUGGCCAAGAAGGUGAAGUAGCACUUUCUACCAUGUUAAUAAGGAAUAGUGAGUCACACUACGAGGCGUAUAGAAUAAAGCAAAAAAAAAGCAACAUGAGCAGGAGACCCGAGUACACAAAUUAAACAUCAUAGAAAUGAAAAUCAUACAUUCCAAAUCAAAAUUUAGUGAUUUACACAAUCUAAACAAGCCCAUCGCAAAGGCAAAUCAUAAAUUUCAAAAUAAUAUAUUCUAGUAAUUACUUUUGACCGGUCAAACACUUAUAUAUUAUGCAACUCAGUCUAGAUCAAAUAAUUUUUAUUUAGACUAGCGGAGUUAAAAUUGCGUUUAUUGGUUCAGUUUCAGUUUGUUUGUUCUACAGUGAAUUGGUUUCUUUAAAGGAAAGGCAUUUUACUGCAAUAGUACAAGCACAUUUAAACUUCUCCAAACGGAUUGGCAAAUAAACUGAGAAAGAAAUUCAACACGAAUAACGAAACUCGUCAAAUAGCUGUACAGAAUCUACCAAUACAUUAUUUUGCUUAAGGAAAAGAGAAAUUACAAAAUUUACUAGAAAACCAAGCAAGAAGGUAUGUGUAGCCAAAUGUUCAACCAAUAAAUUAUUCAUUUAGUGGUGUAACUAUUGUCCAAUUUCCCUGGCGUACUGUAAGUACCUCAAAUUCUUUCCCUUCAUGAUAUAAAUCACCGUGUGUAGUCAACUUUGGUUUCGUUUGAUAUUUGAAGAAGGCAUCAUGCAACACCUGCACAGGGAAACAAUAAAAUAGCUGUAAGAUUCUCUUUAUGCAAAUCAAAAACUGAGGUGAAGCCAACAAACAUGGAUCUGAUCGUUGCUAGAAAAAAUAAAGUGUCAAUAUUGAAAACAGAGAGUUAAGAAUGCUAGUUAUAGAUAUGAAAUUUAGUGUUGCAGAAAUCUCCUUGAACAAACAGUUGAGCUGUGUAUAACAGAAUAAAAUAACCGUUCACAAGUUGCGAAACCUGUGAUACAGUACUAAUAAAUAAAAUAUUUAGCAGACCAACCUGAUAAUCUAUAUCCAUCUUUCCCAUCUUUGGUUGCAUGCGCUCACGUUGUUUCUGUUUAAGCUUUUUGCUGUCCUCUUUUUCAAUAUAUGCCUGGAAGAAUGAAAAAGAGAGAAAAAGUUAAAUAUAUAAACAAUUGACAGAGACAAAUGACUACUUGUACUAUAUUUGGUUGUCAUAUUCAAAACUCGAAAUGAUAUUUGAUUGUCAAAACAAAAACAAAAAAUGAAGUGCAUCUAAUAAUGGAUAACUUAAAAAAAAACGCAUAAAGCAUGAUAUUUUAUUGCUCCAAUUAAGCAAUUAAGAGUUUAACGAGAUUGCUACCUGUCUUAUUUUUUCUAUUCCUGUAGCAGCAAUAAAGUCAGGAAGUUGGAAAGGCUGCUUCUCGAUACCCCGCUUUCCCUGAAAACAAUUGAAAGAAACUGUAAAAUCCCAAUCAACAAUAAAACCCAAUCCCCAUAUCAGGCCUAUUUGAAAUUAAAAAUUCAAAUUUGGUGUACAUCUCAAGAAAUCUGCAAUAUCAAAAAGAAGGUGGUUUAGUUCAACUAUAAACAAUAAAAAUUUUAGACACCAAGCAUCUGCUAUGUUAGCAAUUCAGUAUUUUUUUUUUUUGUUUAAAUAAUAUAAACACUACAAAUCCUAGACUAGACCUUAUUUCAAUUUGCAGAAGUGGGCAUCAUAUGCAUAUAACUAGACCCCACCACCCUAGUGUAUUAUACAAGAGAAACCCUCAAGUCACUCUUGGGCAAACACCACCAAGUCCCAACUCCUUGAAUGUUACAGCCGUUCCCUGCAAAGAAUUACAUAUAUGUAUAAGAGGGGAGACCUUAUCUAACAUUAUUCUUCCCUCACCCUCACAUAACUACAAUAGAAGCAUAUGCACCCCUCAUGUAUAUAUAUAUGCAAAGCAGUCUACAUAAAGCAAGGGUAAGAGAUCGUGAUUCACCUGUAAAAACUUCCGUUUUUGACACCAGUGCCUGGGGACCGGGACAGAAUUCCGAUAUGAUUUCAAAUAAACAAGCAACUUUGGAUCUGCUGCUGUUGCAUCCCAUAUCUUGCAAAAAAGUAGAAAAUAUUCAGCAAAAAUAUCAAGCAAAAGUUAAAUAUCCUAUCUCAGACAAUACGGAAUAAGAACAAGAAUGAAAGUUAAAACACUGCCAUAGACACACAAGGAAUAAUGCAAUGAGAACAAGAAUGAAAACUAAUAUGCAACUAUCGACGCAUAAAAAAUAAAAAGCACAUCAACUGGCAGUGCAAAGCCAGCUAGAAUUCAAGCUACUGUUACCAAGGGAUUGAAAAAUUUACAAUAAAAGAGAAGACAGCAGAAAUAUUCUAAAAGACAAUAGGUCCUCAUGCUAAAAGCAACUAAAGAGGAUAAAUGAGAGAAUUACAUUUUUGAGAAUGCCCAGAUUGUUAUAUAUGUUACAACCAGCUAUUUGAGGAAUGGUUAAGGAUAAGAUGAUUGCAAGAUGCAAAGAGACAAAUCCCACAUGAUAAAUAAGAAUUUAUACUUGGGGGAACAAACUAUGAAGCAAUAUAUUAAACUUCCAAGUGCUUCGGAAGUACUUUGUCAAGGAACCGGAAAUUUAUAUGCAUAAAAUUAAGAAAUUUAUUCGAACAACAAAUGAGAAAACCUACCAAACUAAGAAGCCUCAAAUUGCAUGCACAAAACAUCCAUAUUCCAGAAAAGUUUUAUAACCAUGCCAUUCUUCCAUGCAAUAAACUUUUCAAGAAAUCUCUACUUACUAAUAAAUUGCACAAUUCUACCAAUAGCUAACACAGGAAAAAUAGUGAUGGCAUCACUGUAACUUGUCUGAACAUAAGAGAGAAAGAUCUCUAUACACUUUCAGUUCCACAAUUACCAAUUAAAUAAAACAUGCUAACAAUUAUUUAUUGUGCCCCCCAAUGCUCAAAAUGACUACUUUAGCAUGCACGUACCGCAGUAAAAAUGGUUUGCUGGUUGAUAUAUUCUAUAGCACAUAUAUAUAAAGAAGCAAUGCUUCAAAAAGUAUCUAUUACCCCUUUAAAAGACAAAAAAUAUCCCUCAAAGUAAAACAAACUAAUUUCAGCGAGGUUUCUACACUAACAAAUUAAUCAUGACAAAAAUUGACAGUAAAUGAGAUAAAUUCGCUUAGACACACCUCAACGACAUCAGGCCUGGAGCAUACUUUCUUCAAAUCAGCAAUCUUCAUCCUUCUUUGCAACUGCAAAUAGCGCAAGUAAGUAUUAAAACCGCACAAAUGUUCAAAAUUCCUAACAAAAAGGGAAUUCUAAAAACAAUUGUACUCAGCAGAUCAACCUUCUUUUUCUUAUUCGAUAGCUCGCCUUCCUUCUUCUGCUUUGCUUCCGGCUCUUCCUCCUCCUCCGAAUCCGAAUCCCCCUUCUUCUUCGCCGCAUCGGCUGCGGCCUCUUCCUUUUUCGCAUCAUCCUACAAGAAAUUAUACACACAAAGCGUCAGAGUAGUGAAACUCCACAUCAGAAAACUUCAAAUUUACACGAACCAAAACCUAGAAUACCUCUGCACCAGCGGCGGAAUCUUUGAAGCUAAACUUCGCAAACACGUUUCUAAAAUCCUCGAGAAGGCUCUCCUCCACCUCGGCCUUCUCCGGAACGUACUCGACCUCCACCGACACCUCCACCUAAACAACAAACAGGGGGGGUCAUCAAACACGAAAACCCUAAUCGAUCGAAACCCUAACAUCGGGCAACAAAAAGGGGAAGGGAUCGAUCCGAUCAUACCCUAGGGUUCGGAUCGGCGUUCUCCUUGGAGCUCCCGUCCUCGUCCUCCGCGUCGGCGUCGGCGGCGGAGGCGAGCUUGCUGCUGUUGUUGUUCUUCUUCUGCUUCCGCCUACGGCGGCGGCGCUCGCUGUCCCGGGCCUUCUUCUUGUCGGCGGAGCCGGAUCCGCCAUUGGAGAGGGGAUCGAGCUUAGGGUUUGGGUGGCGGGGGUGCUCCGCGGCGGUGGCUACUUCCGCCGCCGCCAUGGUCGCGGCGCUCGUGGCUCGUGGUUUGAGGGGGAAGGGGAAAAGGAGUCGGAGGGGGGAAGAGAGAGGGCGAGGGCGAUUUUCAGAGUGGAGAGCGUCGAGGAGUCGUAAAUAAAUAAAUAAAUCGUAAUAAAUCCGCGACGGAUUUUUUUUUUCUUUUUUUUAUUGCUUCGUUAAUAUUAAUAUAUUAAAAUAUAAGGUUAAUUUCAUAUAGGUCCGUAUAAAUAUAGUAAAUUACAAAUAUAUUCCUAUAAAGUUUAACUUUUGUAUAUUAUUCAUGCAAAAUUCUUAAUAUUUUUAAAUAUGUUCCUGCUGUUAGAAUCUGUCAGAAAAUUGUAGUUAACUAUAGGUUAAAUACUUAAUCAUGAUUAGUUAAUGAGGUGAAUUGAUCUUUUUACCUUUCUUCGAUUAACAGUUGAAGCUUAUGAAGGGACAUAUUUGUGAUGGCAAAAAAGUCAUUAUAUUUAUAAAAUAAACAGUGCUUUAACGGUAAUAAAUUGGAGAGACAUAUUUAAAAAUAUUGUGACUUUUACGGGAAUAAUAUAUAAAAGUUAAACUUUAUAGAGAUAAAUUUGUAAUUACUGUGUUUGUACUUUGUAGGGAAUUGUACAAAAUUAAUCCUAUUAAAAAAUAUAAAAGAGUCGGUUAAGCCCGACAUGUGCUCUAUUUUGCGGACGACGAUCGAGCCCAAUGAAUCUAAACCCGAAUCCAAAUUUUCAGAGUAGCAAUUUCGAUGUUGCAGUUUGGCUAAAUUAUUUUGUAACGUUUCAAUAGACCUAGUGAACGGGCGGGUUAGAUAAUCUGGUAGGUUAUUAUACCCAUAGGUUAUUAUAUAGACAUGGGUAGAAAUUUAUCUGUAAAUUUUAGAAUAGUCAAAUGUAGGUUAUCCGUAAGUUUUUUUUUUUUUUUUUUUUUUUUUGCUCAUAUACUUUCUAAAUACAAAACACAUAUAUAUAAUUUUUGAAAGUAUAAAAUAACUUAUUGUUUAAAAUAUCACAACAUACAAUGGCGAAUAUAAAAUUUUAAAGCGCAUAAAUUAUAUUAUAUAAAAGUAUUUUAUCAUUGUAAUUUUUGUAAUAUAAAAUUAAUAAAAUUUUCAUAAUUAUAUAGUCAAUAUCAUAAAAAUUAUAUAAUUUUAAUUUUAAAAAAUAUAUACGGUACCCGCGGGUUGCCCAAAAUGUCUACAACUCAACGGGUACUCACCCGUUUUUCGUAUAACUUUUUGGGUAGCAAAAACUAGUUUAAAUUUGAGGGUAAUCCGUGGGUACCCGGUACGGAUAGAGAUUGCUAGGCUUACGUUUCAAUAGUCUCAUAUUCGAUUUUAAAAGAAUUAUAUUAAAAAUAUAAGCAUCGGAGACUCUGGCAUUAAUAAAAAAAUUUAGGUAUUUUGAAUCGAUGACUUGUUUGGUGGGAAAGAGUGUGAGCGUAAACAAGUUAGUUCUACUGGGUUGGAUAGUUAAAGUUACAAUAAAAAACUAAACACAACGAAUAAAUCAAGUUAAAAACAUUAACCUACACCUUUGAUAAAAGACGCCAAAUAAUGCGAGCGUCUUAUUCACUUUCCUACACCCACCUAUGCGGCUUCUUCACCGGCGCCAAAAUCAUUGUUAGAGCUUAAGAAUUAUCAGGCACCCUAUAUUUACUGUUCAAGCCCUCCACCGUCCUUGUCUUUGGCAUCUCCACCUAGUCAAAAGUGUUAUAUCUUCGAUGAGGUUGCAUGAGUUAAUGCCGUACCGGACCGAUGCAACACAGCUGCACAGGAACUUAGGAGCAGAAUUCGCCCUUUUUUUUUUGAGAGAGAGAAGAUAGCAUGCUACCGCUUCAUUCAUAAAGAAUGUGAACUAAGCAACAUACUGAGACAACUAGGCCUCGGAAGAAAAAAAAAAAAAAAAACCAAAAAUAAAACACUAAACUAAGUACAGAACUCCAUCUACAAAUAUCUAAGUUCACAGGCCUGCCGCAGCAAUUGGCUCGAGUUACGUUUUUUAUGCUCGAACACUUUCAUAUUACGCUCCAACCAAAUAGUCCACCACAGGGUGGCGAUAGUAGUAAGCUCCAAACGCCCUAUAACACCACCUUUGAGUCUGCUGCACCCCCAAAGCCCAGUCACCGAAGUGCAGUUAACUAAAGAAUAUUUAUUAGACAACUGACUUUCCAGUAGUGCACAAGUAAACUCGCACCCCACAAAAAGGUGGUCAACCGUCUCCGGCUGAAGAGAACACAGGACACAGACGAGUUCACCAUUCCAGCCCCUUUUCAGGAGAUUGUUCUUUGUCAGUACCUUGCGCUUUAAGACGAGCCAUACGAAGAUUUUGACCUUCAGAGGAAUUCUAGUCAUCCAUAGCUGAGAGUAGCUGUUCUCUUUGACCCCACCAUCUUGUAAGAAUUUGUUGAGGGAGUUAACUAUAAACAUCUCAGAGUGCGUCCAUCUCCAUUUGAUGACAUCUGAAGUGGCUGAUAACAUCACGUUCGAUGGUGAGUCUUUCAGCUUCAAGAUCGACUCUCUAUCGGCUUGCGAGCUAGGUUCGUAAUCCGCCAAAAUUUUAUGCCACCUCCACCCACUACGACCGUAGCAUUCCUUCACCCUAUAAUUACGGCUCUGCACGGCAUUAGUUAAGUUGGGGUAACAUGAUCGUAGGGUAGAUCCUUCGACCCAGAUGUCCGACCAGAAGUUAGUACUGUGACCGUCCCCUAUCGAGAAGGAGAUUCCACACUUCAAUAGAGCCCUAUUUGCUAAGACGUUCCGCCACCAUUGAGAGUAUGGUCUGAAGGAGGCACCUUCCCCGAGGGGUCUACGCCUGGAGUAGUAAGUGCCAUUCAGAAGGGGUCGCCGCUGUUUGUAAGAACCUAAAAGGUAUCGCCACCAUCAUUCACUAAAAGGGCUACAUUCAGAUCAUCUAGAUCCAAAACUCCUAAUCCUCCACUCUUUCUACUUCUACACACAGACUUCCAAUUCACCAAACAAUGUCCUCUGGCGACUAGAGAUCGACACUUCUAAAAAAAAGCUCGUCGCAAGAUGUCGAUGCGGCGCAGAACCCAUUUAGGCGCUCUAAAGACCGACAAAAAGUAAAGAGGCAAAUUCGAUAGCACCAAGUUAACCAAGACAAGUCUUCCACCUUGGGAGAGGAGUUUUGCUUGCCACCCUCCAACCCGUCUCUCAACACGCUCAAUGAUAGGCCACCAGUCCUCUUUUCGAAGAAGUCUGUUUGAGAGGGGUAAGCCGAGAUACCGGAUCGGGAGAGAACCUAGUUUACAUCCUAAAACUUCGGCGAGCCUUACUCCUUGAUCUUCACGACUACCCAGAUAAAGAAGCUCUGAUUUAUCUCGAUUAAUCUUCAGCCCGGAUGCCCACUCGUAAAGUUGCCAAACAAAAAGGAGAUUUCUAACUUGCCUACGUUUAGCCUCGCAAAAGAAGAUAGUAUCGUCGGCGUACUGGAUAAUUGCAACCUUGGAGGUCGCAGUGGGUCCAAGCCCCAUCAACAGGUUGUUACAUACAGCUCUAUUCGUCACUCUUGCUGGUCCUUCUGCAACCAGAAGGAAGAGAUAGGGGGAUAGUGGGUCCCCUUGUCGAAGCCCUCUUUUUGUUUUGAUCCAUUUGGAUGGAGCCCCAUUCACUAGAAUAGCAACUUUAGCAUUAAAAAUACACUGAUCAAUCCAGCCACACCACUUGUUGCUCGCCCCCAGCCAUAUCAUGACCUUUCUUAGAAAUCCCCAGCUCACUUUAUUGUAUGCCUUCUCGAAAUCAGCUUUAACUCCAACACAUUCAACCCCAGCUUUCGAGCACCAGUUGACAAUCUCGCUAGCGGUAAUGAAAGAGUCCAGACUAAUUCGGCCUUUAAGAAAGGCCGCUUAGGAUGGAGAAACAAUCUCAUGCAUCACCCCUUCAAGUCUGUUCGCGAGUACUUUGGAUAAGAUUUUCUAUACACCGUUAAUGAGACUGAUAGGUCUAAAGUCAUUAGUCGAGUUAGCUCCCUCUUUUUUGGGUACAAAGCAGAUAUAGGAGUAGUCCAUAGGUCUAGAAUUUAAGUUCCUAUUGUACAGAUCACAAAAAAUACCAAAAAGAUCAUCUUUGAUCACAUCCCAGAAACGUUGAAAAAACCUCAAGUUGAAACCGUCAGGCCCCAGAGCUUUGUCUCCCCUAAGCUGAAAGGUGGCCUUUUUAAUUUCUUCUAGUGAGAAAUGAGAGGUAAGUCCGUCAUUGCUCAAGCUGGGACUACUAGAAAAAAGACUGCUCCAGUCCCCAAUCGAUGUACAGUGGGUAGUUGUAUUCGGGGCAAAGAUGUCCUUGAAUUUUCUAUAAAAGUAAUCCUUUUUUUUUCCUCCUCUCUAAAGAUAGAUCUACCGUCGUCUACCAGCACGAGUAUGGCAUUAGUCUGUCUUCUUCCGUUAGCGAUCGCGUGGAAGUAAGUCGUGUUACCAUCCCCUUACUUUAACCAUUGCUGCCUAGCUUUGGACUUCCAUAGCACCUCCUCGUCAGCUAUUACAUUCGACAGAUUAAGCUUAAGCUGUUUUCGAGUGUCAAGCUGUUGGACCAUCAAGUUUUCAGAUUCUUCGAGAAUGUCCAACUUUUGUAUUUCUUCAGCCAUGGCCUUCUUUGUUUUGGUGAUGUUGUAGUAGUGUGUAGAGCACCAUUCUUUAAUCCUCUUACGACAGUGGUGGAGUUUGGCUACAAAAGUGAGGGCGCUGGUAUUCUGUGGUUGUACUUCAGUCUACCAAGAUGGUACCAUAUUGCAAAAGUCCUCACGAGCUAACCAGAUCUCUUCAAAUCUGAACGUACGACCAAAUUUUCUAUCAUAGGAGGACAACAAGAUCGGCGUGUGGUCUGAAGUGAUUCUCGGCAAUGCCAACACUUUAGUUAGGGGGAAAGUCUGGUCCCACUCGGUGGAAAUUAGGAAGCGGUCCAGCUUAGCCAGGGUGGGAUCGCUCUGCAUGUUGGACCCAGUGUAAUUUUGAUUCCCCAUUGGCAAGUCGAUCAAAUCCAGAUCGUUGAUUAGGUUAGAGAAUAAGGACAUUACUUUUCUACUCCAAUUCCUACCCUUUUUCUCCUGCUUAUUGCGAGUUAGGUUGAAGUCCCCACACAUCACCCAUAGGCCCGGGCAAACGCUUUUAAGGGCUGCAAGUUCACUACAAAAAUUCUCUUUUCCUUCCCAAGUCGAAGGUCCGUAAACAUUUGUAAGAAAAAAGUGAGUGCCACUGGAUAAGUGUUUCAAUCGGAUAGUAAGAGAGUAAGUACGUAUAAGGACUUCGCUACAGCAAAAGUCUUUGGCACACCAACAGGUAACAAGCCCACCCGAAGCUCCAUUCACCCUAAUGAAGUGACAUUUGUCGAAAAAGGAGCCGACAAAAGAACGUAAGAAAGAUCGUGAGACCUCUUCCACUUUAGUUUCUUGGAAACACAGGACAUACACCUUGAGCUUAGAGACUACACACUUAACUAGGCCUCUUUUUCUAGGAUCGUUCAGACCCCUGACAUUUCAACUACAGAUUUGAAGCAUAGGGAAAUGGUAAGUCGACUACACCGGAACGGACCACCCAAACCAGCCGGCGGUCUAAGAAGGCACACACAAGAAUUCCAAGAAAUUGUGCACGUCAUCGUCUUCCAAAGUUACACCGCAUUUCCCACUUUUUCUCUUGAUCUUCCUGCAGGUUAACGUACACUCUUUGAUGGGCUGGUUGCCAGAGUACACCCUCUGUGGGAAAGCAUCCGCCCCUUCCUUUAGAACAGCUUUACGGGCUAUAGCUCUCACCGAGGUAGGUUCGAUCGCUUUUUUUGCGAGAUAGUUGCUCUUCCUAGGUGUCGCCAAGCUGGGAGCAGGAGUAGCAUCUCGUAAAAAGGAGCUAAGAAUCGAGGCGUUCCGAGGGGCAAAAGAAGCAUCUCCCGUAGAGAAGGUACGAAGCGAGACAGUCCGAGGAGCAACCUCUUCAGAUCGAGCACCAUCUGUGCCUUGUCGCAGUUCUUGAUGACCUAGAGGUUCAACCUGCUCGAAAGCAGUCCACACACCACCCGAAAUCAGACCAGGCACACACAACUCUAAUAAACCCAACACCCGUCUUACAUCAGGGCCCUGGGUCUAAAAAAAAAAAGCCAAGAUUAGGGCCAAAAAGCUGGGUCGGAUCACAGAGCCCGAGUAGAACAGGUUCGAUAGGUUAGGAAGUUCAAGAGUGGGCCACAACACAAUAGGGCCCAUCCUGACAGCUCCAUGCCUGCAAAGAAAAGGAAGGUACAAAGGAUCCGGGCUUGGAUUUUCAUAUACAGAGGCUCGAGAGAGUCCCCAAAACGAUUGCCAGUCUUCCUUGGAUGCGACACCCGAGAAGGGGUCUCCAAAUGUGAAAACUCUUCAAACAGACCAGGAUGCCUCAGUCCCUGUGGCAACGACAAAACAGAAUGGUCUAGAACUCGAGGCGGUGGAUUCCUGGUGAUAGGGUACCCACAACGAGCAAGGCCAUCACAGUCGCUGAGAUCUUGGCUGGUGGGAGCCCGAAACCGCCCUCGAUCGUGCAACUCGGCCGAGGCAGACAGGUACAUCGCAUUCAAAAAUUUGCUAAAACAGACCAGCUUGCGAUUCCCGAGUUGCUCCAAGGACUGCUGGGAAGAUUCAGCCUGGGGUCGCUGGGAAGAUCUGACAGAAGGCACAGAGAUUUGUACACUAGUCAAAAAGUCUACCGUGUAAUCGGGUGGUACCAUCACGCCGUCCGUCGACGAUACAAUCGGGGCUUCUUCGGGAUUUGGCGGCGAUAGGUGACGGCCUUGAAUCUCAGCAGGAAACGACCGCCUUCUAUCUCUGAUCUCUGAAGAAUUCUAGGUAUCGUCUUGUCCAGUAUCGGCACUAUCUUUAGAAACAUUGUCGCCCAAAGGUGCACCACGAUUAUUGACCUGUCUGCCCAUCUACUGCCCUAGAGGAUCAGUUUGGUCUCCCCCUUUGUUUGGGUUGCCUCCUGCAAAAGGGAUGCCGUGGUCGUCCCCACCGAAAGGGGCUGUGCUUUCCAGCUGAACUUCAACGGAGACUAUAAGAUCACCCAUGGUGAGAGAGAGGUUCUCAGGAAUGUCGACCGGGUCCUCACAGCUACUUGACAUCUAAAGCAUAUUAGGUCGAGGACAUUGAGACUAUUGUUAUCUACUUUAAGGUAGCGUCCGAACCCAUUAACGAUUGAGGAUACCCUGGACUCAGACCAACAUUCGAAGGGUAAGUUUACCAGCUUGAUCCAAGCUUUAUACUUGAGUCGAGAGCGGAAUGCAUUCUUGUAUGGGUUCCAAGAAAAGCACCGAAGUUUGUAGUGAGACAAGUAGAUUAUCCUCCUUCUAACAAGAUCCCCAGAAUGCACCCAUUGUGGAAGGCAGAUAACAUAGUCCGUCUCCCGGUACCGAGCGACGUGGAAGUCAUUGGAGAAACCACCAAACUGGUUGGCGAAAUCGGACGCAAUCAUAUCUUGUGGAAAGUGACCGAGAUUUGUGGUCCCAAUGACGUUGGCGAGGAUAGCGUUCCUACAUUGCUGCUGUCUGGAGUGGUAGCCUUUCGAAAAGGGAACGAACGCCUUCAAGGAUAGGGGUCUGAAUCGCAAUGCUCUCUGCAUGUUUGAUAGUUCCCGGCUUCUACGUACGCGGUAGUUGCAGGUGGGAUGACCAAACUUGUAACACCUGGAGCACCGAAACGGCUCUCUACACUCACCAAUCUGGUGAUCUGUCGCCAAACACCUAAAGCACCUUCUCUUUCGGACGGAAGAUAAAGGAGGAGGGCGAAAGGUGCUCUUAUGCUUAGUGGAAGAGGGAGAGCUUGCUGGGUGAGAGGGGGUCUUGAGGAGAGCAUCUUUAUAAGACAACUUGUGGGGGAGCUCCUGCGAGGGCUCUUUCUUCCUCCAAUGGAUCCGCGAGCGUCCCUCCUUAGAAGGUGAAGGAGAAGAGGGAAGUCUACUAGACCCAAUGGACGCAGCAGGUAGAUCUCCUUCGAAGGGACAGCUCGACGAAAGGAAUCCACUUUUAUGGUCCGCCCAGGUAAGUUUUAACUUUGACUUUGUCUUCUUGCCAUUGUUAUCACUUAUCCUCCUACCAACCUUAGAUUCCUCGGAUUUCUUCUGAAGCGGCAGAGUUCUUGAGUUUGUCUUCUUGCAGGUGGAAGUAUUUGCCUCGUUGCCAGCUUUAGACUCCUUAGCUGAGAAGUCCAGCCCCCGACUCUUGCCUUUUAGUUGGAAGAAUCGCCUCUCCAGCUCCGAGUCCAUUUUUCGCGAUGUGGGCGAGGAUCUGCGACGAAGAUGAGGGACUUCGAUUUGGGGGAGCUGGCCCUUCGAUGGCGUGGAAGAGGGAGACAAAGCUCAAGCUCUACCCCCGAUCUCGUCGCUCGAUCGAUGGUGGUGGUCCGACGAGCUCCUUGCCGCUCGAUCGAUGAAGGCGGCGGCUGGCUUGGGGCGUGGAGGCGGGGGCGACUAGGGCUUCGCAGUGAGGCGGAGGCGGCGUGAGGCGGCUUGGGGUGCGGAGACGGCGGCGGCUAGGGCUUUGACGGCGUGGUCCUUCGGCAGCGUGAGGCGGCAUGGGGCGUGGAGACGGCAGCGUCGGCUAGGGCUUCGGCGGCUAGGGCUUGGGGCGUGGUCCAUCCCUCCCUCUCUCUCUCUCCUGUUAAAGUCUCCUUUAGGAAGGAGAGUGAAAGCGAAUUCGGCUCCACGCGUCAACCCUGUUCACGUGUGCCCACAGCUACGUGACGGUAGCCCUCCGCCAAGGAAAACGUGAACCGCCCAUGCUUUAAACUCACAUGUGUCGGUGAGGCGCCAUGGGGUUAGUGUCGCCUGUUCAAGUUUCACCACCGCCUUUUGCGGCAUUACAAGUGCAGCGACCCUCCCUGUUUACUUCAAUGGUCGUCUGAGGCCGCAGUUAAGAAAAAUCAAAAUAUCUUGAAGGUGGAAAAAGAAAAAUAUUUGCCGCUGUAUCCAAAAAUGUUAAUUUUAAAAAUCAGUUUGUAUUAUUAAUACUCUUAAUGACAUAGGAGGAGUUGUUAGAGCAGCCAAAUCCGUUGCGGCACAUUCCAUGCCUUCGAGAAUAACCUUGUUUGUACCUUCAUUGUAGAUUUAGCUACACUUGAUGUGGAGCAGAAGCGAGCGAAGGCAAGCCUCACAGAUUUUAGAAAAUUCAAUCCGCCAAAGUUUAAUGGAGAAGCUAUAGACUCAUGGGCAGUGGAAGCGAGGGUCUAUUCAAUGGAGAAGCUUUUUGAGGACUUUGUUCAUUGUAGACUAGUUUGUUUCAAUCUGACCAAUAUGCAAUAUAGAGUAGGAGGUAAUCAAAUACUACUAAGUAGAUGUCCAUGUCUCACCAUAAAGUUCAAUACCUUGACUACAUCAACACGCUAUUUGGAAAAGAAAGGGUCACUAACAUGCAUAAGAGCCAUACUCACAUAUACUACAUAAAGCAUACAUUAGAGGAGUAGGGCUACUAUACUUUUAUGAGUAUUGGGCACUUCGUACUCAUAAGUUGUUUUUGAUGAUGGAGCUUCUGAAUCGACGAUCCACCCCGUUAAAUAUGAUCUAGAGUAUUUGAAACUUCUAGAGAAUAAAUUUCGUAAUUUUUCAAAAUCAUAGUAAAGUCCAUCAAGCAGGCAUAAAAUGAAUGGUCAAAAUCAAACGACGUCAUAAAAAUGGAUGAUCGGAUACUUCAAUUUAAGAUCGGAGUUAUUGAUCUUUAUCUAGGUAGUGAAUAGAAAUUUCUAUCAAAAAUUCAACCUAUUCCGAUUCUUUUCCACCGUUAAACUAGCAAAUAUUUCAUACUGGCCGUUAAAAAUUGUCAAUUUUGUGAGCUUUUGAUCGUAAGGUAAAUGAUGUCGAAAAUUAUGAAAUUUGAUUUCUAGAAGUUUUAAAUGCUCUAGAAAAUAUUUAACGGUAUGAAUCGUCGAUUCGGAAGCUCUAUCAUCGAAAACAACUUAUGAGUACGAAGGCGAUCGUACUCAUAAGAGUAUAGUAGUCGGACUCUACAUUAGAGAAUAUACAAUCAACAUGCAUCUAGUGAAAUGCCAUAUAUUUUAUAUCAACAAUGAGAGUUCCUGAUGACAUAUUUAUCAAGGAAUAAAGAUCAAUCGAGAAGUAGAUGAUAUAAAAGGAGUUCACCGAUUUCGAUUAGGUUGAACCAACCACAUAGUUGCUGAAAUAUCUUCAUUUCCUCCAUGAAAGUUGUUGUGUCCUCUCUUCUAAUCCUAAGAGAUUUUUUUCAAGUGAUAAAAUUCUCCAAAAAUCAUAUAGAAAUUAAGUAAAAAAUAUUUUAGCUUAGAAAAUCCUUGAAAUUCCUCUAAAUCAAGUUGUUGGAAGUUCCUUUACAACCUACGAGAGGGUUUUUAAUCCAUCAAUUUCACCUAUAGAACUCUACAACCCAAAACCCCCCAAAAAUAAUCUUAAAAAUCUCUACUCAUGUCUCCCCAUUCUAUCAAGAGAAACAUAGAUAAAGUGGACUUCUUCUCCCUCUCUAGCAGCUUCCUCUUGAUGCCUUUGACCUUCCCCAAGCACCUAAGGAGCUGGAUCACCAAGCUCCAACAAUAGAGAAAGUGGUUAUUCUAGAGAGAGAAAAAAAAGAGAGAGAAAAAAAAAUACAGAGGAGAUUAGGGUUUGGAUGGUGAAAAAGGUAUUUAUAGAAGUGUUAUAUUUGCACAUAAACAUUUCCAACAUUUCUAAUUUGAGAAGAAAUGAACUCAGCCUUGUUGCCAGGUUUCGAGUCCCCGCUCAAUUUUCGAGGGCCGAACCUCACGUAGCUGCAUUUGGUCCGUAGCCCGGACACCCGACCAGUUCGCCCGAAACAUAUUUUGGGCACCAACAGGGGAAACCGAGCUCAGUUUCAGGCUCAAGUUUGCUCUUUAGAAGAGUGUCCAAAAGUUUUGGGCACUGCAUUAGAUUGUACUAAACCAUUUCGGGUGCCUGAAUCGCUGUUUCGGGUGUUCGUAAGGACUAGAGCUCAGUUUUCUUCUCUUUCGGAACUUCGUUUUGGUCUGAAUUGAUUUCAACUUGAUCCAAACUCAAUCUAGACUUCUUUGAACCAAAUUUAAUCAUGUCUAGCAUGACUUAGUCCAUAUUUUAUCAAUUUAGGCAAAGUUGAGUACAUUAUAGAGUUCAACGAGUAAUUUGCUUGUGAGGGUCACGCCCUACAUGCAUGCCUUGGCCUUUGGAGGUGUAGCCACGUAGCUAUGUGAUUGUUCGAGCCGCCUAUUGUUGCGAGCCAAAGUGGGUUCAUAUUUGAUUACUCGACAUCCUACCAGGCAAGGCAAGCUUUGCUGGGCUAUGAGUUGGUCGGUGUAAUUGAGUAAUAUGGACAAGAGUAAAUCACAAUAAGACUUGAUUGCAUAGUAAAGCCAUCAUUCAUAGGCAUAAUAGUAGUAUCCUAUUAGUUGUUGAUAGUUCGGUGGGGGAUCAUGGCAAGGAAGUUGUGUAAUAGAUAGCUCAGUCCUUUUGGUGCAUUAUUAGAUGUGGAACCCUUUGUAUUAGGUUGUUAUAUUUUGAGAUGUAUGGAAAUACUUGUAUGUGAGUUUUUUUUUUUUUUUUUUUUUUUUGAUUAAACAAGGAUGAACCCUAUUUUACAGAAGGUUGAGAACGAAAAAAAAAAAAUUUCAUGAGUAACUGAACCUAAGCACACCCUCAGGCAUGAUACAAAGCAGAUCCUAAGGCUCCGUUUGGAUCGGGAAUUAGUAGGAACUAGUUAUACCGGGGAUAGGUACAAGUAUGAGUUUUUGUAGGAAUAAGGGUAUUUUUUUGUUUGGAUGAAAUUGUGAGUAUAAGCUGGAACUAGAAAAAUUGUGUUUGGAUGGUUUUUGGGAAUAAGAGGAAUAGUUGGUAGUUAUAAAUAGAAAAUAAUAAUAUUAUCCCUAUAAUUGAAUUUUAAACUUAUAAUUUUAAAUUUUAAAUUUUAACUUUUAAAUUUAAAUUAGAAAUUAAAAUUUUAAAUUUUAAUAUUAAAAAUAUUAAUUUUAAAUAUCAAAUUUUAAAUUUCAGACCAAAUUUAAAUUUCAAAGAUAUAAAAUAACAAAUUUAAAAUUUAAACGAGAUAAAAUUUAAAAUUUGAAACUUAAAUAUCAAAUUUAAAAUUUAAAAUUUUAAAUAUCAAAUUUAAAUUUUAAAUUGUAAUUUAUUAAUUAUAAUUAUAAAAUUAUAAAUUUUAAAAUAUAUCUCUCUCUCUCUUCUCUUCUCGUCUCCUUCUCUCUACUCAAUGUGGGUUGGAACAGCUUGGGAACAAGCUUGUUCAACGGGUGGGAACAAGUGUUCCCACAUAACGGGUUGUUACCUACAACCCGUUAUGGGUGGGAACACUUGUUCCACACCAUUUUUUUUUGUUUGGUUUGUGUAUUAAGGGGGGGAUAUCCCCCUUAUCCCCCCCUUUAUACCCGAGCCAAACGGAGUGUAAGUAUACUGUAUCGGCCACUAGCACAAACACAACUAGCACACCUAAUUGACAGAGGUAUCGAACACUAGUUUCCAAGAAGAUACAGUUUGUAUAAUACUUCUACCCAGAGUGUCGUAUCGGGAUUGCCGAUUGUCGAAUAUUCUUCUAUUUCGCUCCUUCCAGAUCUCCCAAUAGGCUGCUGCAAUUCCAAGGUCGAGUGUGGUUCGAUUUUCUCCUGAUACCAUCCGCCACAAUCGACGCCAUCGUGUUGCAAGUCCUUCAGACGUGGUGUUCCUCCAUGCAAGGUUGAAUGUGAGUCUGCCCAUUAACCGAUUCCCAGUGAAACUGCAUAGAUGCAGUUAUGCAUAAUAUGCUCGAUAGACUCCGCAUCGGAGUUGCAGAGAAUGCAAAUUGUCGAGCCCUGCCAUCCACGUUUGAGUAGGUUGUCGGCUGUCAGAAUUUUGUUUCUCUCAGCAAGCCAGAGGAAUAGCUUGACUCUGAGCGGAAUUUUGAGGUUCCACAGGAAAGGGAGGUUGCAGUUGUUGAUGACAUCAAAUUAACAUUAGAAAUUCUGCCGCGCCGUGCACCAAGAACCUUCCCGAGCUGUUCCAUCUCCAAGAUAGCGCAUCGUGUCUGUCGUUAGAAAGGGCUAAGUUGUUGGACACCACCGAUAACUCUUGAAGUUCUGUUAGCUCUUGUGGACUGCUAUGAGAGUUGAACCCCAGGUUAGACUAAUUUGAGAAGCGGUGAAACCAGGAACUAACCGUCAUAUUAGUAUUGACAGAAGCCGCAUAGAGGAUAGGAAAGCGAUUUCUUAGUGCUAUAUCUCCACACCAUCUCGCAGUCCAAAAGGGUGUUUCCUUACCAUCGCCGAGAAUAAAAUCAACCGAGGUGAAGAAUGGGGCGUAAAGUCUUAGCAUAUUUUUCUAGAUUGGACAACAACCAUAAGGAAUGGAGCUAGUAGUAGUUGUCGGUCUCCGUCUGUAGUGUUUCUGCUUCAAAAGUUGCACCCAUGGAAGAGUAUGGGAGGUGUGGAACUUCCACAGCCCCUUCAUCAAUAAGGCCGAGUUCGUAACGUUAAGCUUGUUAAUCCCGAUCCCCCCUACUCUUUUGGAACGACACACAUGAUCCCAAUUAGCGAGGCAAUGAAAACCGCUGAUAGAAGACUUUCCUUUCUAGAAGAAGCCUCGACGAAUCCUGUCAAUCGCUCGUGUCACCCAAACUGGAAGAGCAAAAGCGGAACAGAAAUAGACUGGCAAGGAGGAGAGAACCGAGUUAAGCAGAAUUAAGCGCCAUCCUCUAGAGAGAGUGGAACAUUUCCAACCGGACAAGCGUUUGUCUAUUUUCUCAAUGAUCGGCAGGUAAUCUGCUCGUUGAGGGGACUUGGGGGAGAGAGGUAAUCCAAGAUAUUGCAAAGGGAAAUGCUGCAAAGGACAACUAAAGAUAUUAGAUAAAGUAGCAGCUUGUUCCGUGGAGAAGUUGAUAGGAGACAAAGAGCUUUUGCCGAAGUUAAUUCUGAGCCCCGAGCUUGCGGAAAAAGCUUCAAGUAGUGUCCUGAUGAUAGCCGCAGAUCUGGUAGAGCCAUCAAAGAAAAGGAGGACGUCGUUCGCAAAUUGGAGUGUAUGAAUUUUAGCAUCUCCUAUGCUGACGGUUGGGAGAUAAUCAGAAAGGACAGCUUUCUCGAUUAGUCUGAAGAGCACAUCGAUGCAAAGGACGAAGAGAAGUGGAGAUAGAGGAUCUCCCUGCCUAAGCCCUCUUUUGCGGGGAAGCGACCUGCCAGGAUCACCGUUUAGGAGCACGGCCGAUGUGGUCGAACUCAGCAGAGCUGAGAUCCAACCAAUCCACUUGCCGCUAAAGCCCCUGGCAUUAAGAAGUUCAAAGAGGAAGCACCAGUUGAUGUGAUCAAAUUAAUGCUCGUUCGAAGUCAAUCUUUAAGAGGGCCGCUUGAUUUUUAGAGACAUGAAGAUGGUGGGUGAGGAUGUGUGCACAAUAGAAGUUGUCUAAAAUGUAACGGCCUUGAUGAAGGCUGCCUGGUAAGGGUUGAUGAGCUGAUUCAAGACAGAUUGUAGCCGGGUAGCCAAUACUUUGGAGAUUAUUUUGGCCAAGCUGUGGACUAAACUGAUCGGGCGUAGAUCGCUCGCCGUCAACACAGUGGGUUUCUUAGGAAUGGGAUAGAUCCAGCAGGUGCUGAUUCUACGUAGAUCCGAAGAGCCAUUAUAAAAACAGUCGAAGACUUCCAUGACGUCAUUCUUCAGAAGCGACUAGAAGCGGUGGUAGAAAAGCAAAGGGAAACCGUCCGGUCCCGGGGCCUUGUCCGGUGAACAAGAAAAAAUAGCCGACUUCACUUCUUCUACCGAAAAGGAAGCGUGAAGGGAGGAAAGGUCACAUCCUUCUUCAUCGAAGAUAGAAGAAAAGUUGAUAGUGGAGGUGGAGUUUUUGGAUUAUAUAUUUUGCUUGGAGAGUGUAACCUCGGUUGUAACAGAAUAAUUAUCUUUUUGCUUUUGAUAUCCAACUCUUAUGUUUUCUCAUAUAUACUUGUUACAUAUGAGUCGAAUGUAUUAGUUGUUAGUUGACACUUUGUAAGUACAGGGGUUAAUUCCUUGUACAUAUGGUAAGUCGUGCACAUGCCCGGGAAUGCUUCCGCUAUAGCUCAGAGCGUGACACUACUUCGCUUGCAAUAUUUUGAGUCUUUAAUUUUGAAAUUACUAAAUUCCACUACCAAAACGAUUUCUCUGUUGGGAAAAACAACUAAAUCGACAUAACGCUAUGCCGCUAUACGGAUCAAAUCUAACUUCUCAUCUGCAUAUUACUACCUUUUCCAUGAAUUAAUAAAACAAAAAAAAAAACAAAUAAGAUAUUUAUGCACACAAAAAGACUAUACAUCAUUAGAAGUAAUACUUGCUUAAAAUAAAACUCUAGGUGAAUCACCAAAGUUCACUCAUUUAACACUCUUCAAUUUUAUAUAUAUAUAUAUAUAUAUAUAUAUAUAUAUAUAUAUAUAUAUAUAUAUAUAUAUAUAUAUGCAAGAAUUAAUGUAGAUGCAUCAUCAAUCCCAAAAUAGAAACAAACUAAUUAGUGUAAUAUGGUAACCUUGUACACUCAUUGUAUAUACUCCAAUUUUGAUAAUAAGAGAUGCAAAGCCAGCUCAUCUAGUCAUUUUUUAAAAAGAAAAGUUAUUGCCUGCACCGAGUGUACGUAUCAUGCAACAUUAUUAGAAUCUACUGAUAUACAAAAAUUAAUAACUAUUUAUCAAUAAUAAUUAUUGAAAUUGUACUUAACCACUUAAAUAAAAAAAAAAUAUGCACUUUACUUUCCUAAAAAACUUAUAUCGUCAGCAUUUAACCUGUCAGAUAAAACAAAUUAUGAACUUCAUACCCCUUUAAGAAAAAUAAAUAAAUAAAAAAUGAAAGCAUAUUUGGUCAUUUCACUAUUUUUUUAACACUAUAAGCUAAAAAGUUUUAAUUUUUUGAGAGAAUGAUUAUUUGCAUUUUAGCCUUUAAAUUCUUAUAUUUUAUUUCUUUUUGAUACUGCAAGUACCGUAUGCCUUACAAAACACCAUGAGCCCCGAAUUUCAGCACACAUGGAUGUUCGUACCUUUGACCUCAUGAUCGGCUACCGAAUACCUUAUAAUGAAACUUCUACUAGUGGUUUAGUAGAUUGAUUUUGAAUUAAAUCACAUCUAAAUAUACAUAGUAAUUAAUGCACUAAGUGCAGGUAAUAAUUUUUCAUUACGUAUAGUAUUUUGUCUCAUAUGCAUAAACCAAACGUGAAACCUUUCCUGUUCUACUUCUUGCUCACUUUUUUAUGGUCUCAAUUCCCCUCACAUUACCUCAUACUCAUCUUCUUAGAAGAAAGGUAGAGGCAACAUGUCUCCAAGCUCUCUCAUCUCCACAAUGCAUAGCAUCUUAGAAGUGCUUUUGCUUUCGCUUCUGCUUCUGCUUUUGCUUCUUACGAAAGCUACGAAAGCUAGCCGUACAGAAGUAAAGAAAUUUCCGGGGUUCGAUGGCGAGCUUCCUUCCAAGCACUACGCGGGGUAAGAGUAAUAUUACUAGAAAAGAAUAGUAUCUGCAUGUUUUGCUAUAAUUGGAGUCUAUUUAGCAUCACACUGGUUUAGGGUUUUCUUCAAUCACAAUUAACUGCAAUUGAGUUUUUGGCAAAUCAGAAAGACUGAAGCUUCGAUUGUAGUGGGUGGGGAGGCAAAAUACGAUUUUGAAGCCCUUUUGAUCCAAUUAUAAAGAGUAGAUAUUGGAAAAUUUGAAAUAGUUUAUUGUAAAUAGCUCUAGAGAAAUAGCGAAAUCUGCCGGUUCGGAACUCGAUCACUUCUCAGAUAGGGGGACAAGAAUACCACUAGCCCAAGAUCUACACUACACUAGAGAAGGUAGGACAAGAGCAACGGAGAACUAAGUAACAACUUUUCUUUUUUUUGUUAAAUUACAGAAAACCCUUUGUCAAAAUCCGAUUUUUCACUUUUCUCUCCUGUCAUUUAAAAACCUACACUUUGUCCCCUUGUAAAAUAAAAAAUGUUCACAAGGGGGUACGGUGUGAACUGUGAUGAUAAAAUGACCAUUUUGUCCCUCAUCAUUUUGCCCCUCAUCUUAUUUACAGGAAAGAAGCCGAGGACAUUUUUGGUAUAAAAAAUUAUUAUAUAAUAAUAUUUUAUAAACGAAACCCUAACGGAUUACUAAUGGCAGGAGUAAAGUGAACAUUUUUCAUUUUACAAGGGGGCAGAGUGUAGGUUUUUAAAUGACAGGAGGGGAAAGUGAAAAAUCGGGUUUUGACAUGAGAGUUUUAUGUAAUUUGGCCCUUUUUUUUUAUUGAAAUAGAAAGACUCUUACACAUCUAAGCUAAGUCUACAAAGGUGGUUAAAUAUUACUAAGUGCAUGUGUUCUCAUAUAGAGUGCAUGAUUGCUGCUUGUAUAAACUAAUAAGGGAAUUGGUGGGUUCAAGAGAAUUGGCUCUUGACUCGAAGAUUUAAGAAAUAGGAAUAUGAAAGGGUGUAUAAAUGUUGGAAAAGAUGGCAUAAUUAUGAAUAGUUGUUGAGUAUUAGAAUACAUAUAUAGUUGAAGUCCGCAUGCAUGAAUGGUUUUGGAUCAUGUGAGUUGCAAGAAGAAAUUAUAAGAACGCAUGCAAGUACAUAAUUUACUUAAACAAAAGAAAAUAAAAUUCACUUUAAAAGUUUGACACUCACCUUUAAAGUGAGUUUUUGGAGAUGAUCCGAGCUUUCUAGUUUGAAUAGUCCUUUCGAAAGCGAUUUGGUGAAGGUAUCCACACAAUUGUCCUUGCUUUGAACAACCAAUACAUGAAUAAUGUUUUGAAAAACAUUCUCACGGAUGAAGUGAUGCUCUAUCUCAAUAUGGUUUGAGUGCACGUGACAAAUUGAUUGGAUGCAAGUUUUAUUGCACUUUGAUUGUCACCAUGAAUUGUGGUAGGAGUAGGAAUUGAUGAAUGACAUCCUCGACAAACAGCUGCACCCAAACACAUUCUUGAGCAGUCAAUGAUGAUGCCUUGUAUUUGGCCUUCAUAGUGAAGAGUGACACUGAGUCUUGUUUUUUGCUACACUAAAAGAUAGCCGUAGAUGCAUAUGUAAAUAUAUAGCCCGAUGAAGAUCGUCGAUCACCCAAAUCCCCUCUUGCAUCUGCAUAACCUUGCAAUAUAAAAGAAACUCCAUUCUUGAAAAGGAAGCCAAAAUCAAGAGUAUAAUAACCAUAUGUUAGUAUCUACUUUGCUAAUUCGAAGUGAGGCUUCCUGGGGAUUGCAUGUAAUGUCUCACAAGACCGACGACAAAUGCAACGUCUGAUCUUGUUAUAGUCAAGUAAAUAAGACUUCCAACAAGUGCCUAGUAUGGUUGAUGGUUUGGGAGAAGCUUGCCUUCAUCUUGCCAUAACUUUAUAUUGGUAUCAAGUGGAGUAGAGCAUCACUUCCCACUUAUUAUGCCAAACCUUCAAACAAUGUUUUGAGCAUAGCCUUUGAUGGAAGAAAAAUCUCAUUCUCCACUUUCUCCACCUCCAACCCAAGAAAAUGGUGAAGCUCACCUAAGUCCUUUAUUUCGAGCCAAAUAGAGAGCUUGACCCGAAGUCGUGCAAAUUCUCCAUUAGUAUAAUAUCGGUGAUGAUCAUGUCGUCCGCAUAAAAGAGAACAAUAAUAUGUAAACUCCCAACUUUCUUGAUAAACAAGCUAGAAUUGGAAUUAGAUGCAAACUAACCACGAAAUUCUAAAUACUCGGCAAUUUUACCGUGCUAUGCCCUUGGCGCUUGUUUCAACCCAUAAAGAGCCUUAUUGAGCAUGCAAACACUGGAUGAAUUUCCAAAAUAUAGUCCAGGGGUUGUUCUAUGUAGAUGUUUUUGUUAAUCUUACCUUAUAAGAAUACAUUCUUCAUGUCAAAUUGUCAUAGCUUUCAAUUAAGACUAGUGGCAAAAGAAAUCACCAUGCGAAUGAAAGUCAUUUAAGCAAUGGGGUUGGAGGUUUCUUCAUAAUCUUCACCAUACUUUGGUGAAAACCCUCUCGAUACAAGUCAAGCUUCGUUGUGCUUCACUUUGUAAACCCAUUUGUAAAUGAUUUGCUCCACAUCUCUAGAUUUUGGAAUAAGAUACCACAUUUCGUUCUUGAUAAUGCCCUCAUUUUUUCAUCCAUAGCAUUAUGCUAUUCUUUCACACCAUGUGCUUUUCUAAAAUAAGAAGAUUCAAGCUCAUCAAUAGGACAAGCAAUAUACCAGUAGGGAGCCAACUUCACAAUUUUCUUUUGUGAAUGCCGAAGUGAUAGCACCUCCUUUUCUUGAACUUCUACUUGAUGUUCUUCGUUAUCAUGAAUCCCCUUGGAUUUCGCUCCCCUUCCAACAUAGAAACCGAAGUAGCCAAUAGAGGAGCACUAGAGAGAACUCGCUUGUUUUUGCUUAAUUGAGGCACAGUCUCUACUUGCGUAUGACUCGUCACCUCCAUCAUUGAAGUGAAUUGAGAAAGGUAGUAAGAAGAUAACUCAUCAAAUACCACAUCCCUUAAGACCACAGACUUUUUAGCAAGAUUUAAAUGCCCAUCGGCACGGACUGUAUCUAUCGUGCCGUAUCGUGCCAACAAGAUAUAUCGGCACGAUACAGCCCCCGUGCCAAUGGCACAACUCAAAACCCUCUAUUCUUUAAAUUAGUAAGUAAUUUUCUCAAUAAAGUUCAAAAGAUUUGAUAAAAAUACGUAAUAAAAAGAUAAAAUAUUUUGUUGCUAAAGAAAAUAAAUAUUUCAUGCUAUUAUGUGUCGGCACAUAUGAAUUUUUUAUGACUGGCACGUAUCGGCACGACCCGGCACGCACCGUGCCAGCGAGUUUCCGGCACUACUCCGUGCCACGACACUUAAAUCCUUGCUUUUUAGUCUCUGGUUCCCUAUAUGCAGUUCCAUCCUUUCUUUCUUUUGACAUAGUUAAUGAAAACACACUUCUUAACUUUAGGAUAUUUGGAAAAUGAACAUAACAAGUAGAACCAAAAUCUUUAAGGUGCUUAACAUUAGGUUUCUCACGCACAUCAACUCAAAGGAAAACUUGAAGUUGCUUAACAUUAGGUAGUACACUGUUUUUGGGAACAUGGAACCCACCUAGAAGAAUAGCUCUAAGAUGGUAGAGAACGAUGCACUCGGACCUCCUCAACGGCACCCACUCCAAUAGGGAAUCCGACAAAAAACCCACAGCAAAAAUUCUAAAGAAUCCUGCUCCUAAAAUACAGUAGAUCCCUAUCAUCUAUUGUGAAAAUCAUGCCUUGAAAAUCCCAAUCAACUUAAUAAAAUAUUUGAUACCAAUCUUCAAUACAAUGUGAAGGAGAAAAUGGGCGUGUGUCGUCAAUCGUCUCCAGUCACCCCUUUCUCCCUCCUCUCUCUUUAGCAUGAAACGAAGGAUCGAAGUAGAGAAGAAGAAAUGACAAAGAAGAUCUUGUCCAAAAUAUGUAAGUCCACAAUGCAAAAAAGGCCCUCAGUGUAUCAAAUAUUCCAAUCUCAGCCAAAAUCUGAUGUUUUGGGCACCCGAAACCAUCUUUUGAGCGCUCAAAACCUCAAAUUCGAGGUAUUUCGGACAUACCCUCGUGCACUUGACUGACUGAUCUCGUUGUAAUUAUGCGUAGAACUAGUUUGGGCGCCCGGACCCUGCACCCGAAUUCUUGCUAAGUCACCUUGCACACAAGUGCACCCUGAAACAAGUCAAAUCAACUUCACCUACUUUUCGAACUGCUACAAUACCUAAAAUCGGGUGCCCACAUCAAGGCUUGGAACACAUAUGGAUCCACCCUAUUGGGCGCCCUCAAGUGAGGUCCAAAGUCACCUCAGCCCGAAAUAGUACUAUUGGGCGCCCUAAUCACUUUUCAGGCAUCCGAAUAGUCACCAAAUACUCAAAUUAGUCCAGAAUCUAGUUCUUGACUCGUUUACGCGUCAAUUUUGUGCUAAAACAAUUCCAACUUAGUUCAGAAUUCUAAAAACAUGUUAACUAAUAACUCAUACUACAACCUUGCCUAUUUGUCAAGAUUCAGUACACCACAAUUAUACUUUCUUGCCUUUUUGAUGAGUUCCCUAAACAAAAGAGCAUUUCAUAUAUUAGAACGGUAAAAUUUACUGAGAGGCGGACAUCGUUUCUCCUUCGCUUUUGAUUUUAUUGGAAGCUUCACUUUGUUUUCACUUGAGGACAUAUGUUGGAUGCUACCACCUGAAUUUCUUGAUUAUUUAGUAUUUUAUAGUGGACAAAUUUGGUUCACUUGGCUUUUGUCAUAACAAUUAUCUAGUAGCAUUUAUUACUUAAUCAUAUUUUUUUUACAGGUAUAUUACAGUUGGUAGCGAAUUUCCAAGAAGACAUAUAUACUACUAUUUUGCUCUUUCGGAAAGAAAUCCUAUUGAAGAUCCUAUUACUUUAUGGAUAAAUGGAGGUCCUGGAUGUUCAGCAUUUAGCGGACUUGUGCAGUUAAUGGGUAGGACCUGUAACUCAUAUUUUACUUAUUUUCUUUCUUUGUUUUCAUCAAUGUUCUAAAAACUAACUUAGCAAUCAAACUAGUAAUGUAAAAGGUUUAGAAGAGGUUUUAACCGGGUUGAAUCAUGGCGAACCAUAUUACAGAAGAUAGUUUUUUUUUCCCAUAUCGUACUGCUUCUAAAUUUAUAACCAUUCAUCAAUUUCGAUGGGUGGUUAGGGUGAGAGAGAGAGGAGAGAAAUUGGGGAGAAAUUGAGUGUCUUAAUUUCUCUUCUCUUUGAAUUUCUUCAUAAUUUUUCUUCUCUCUAUCAACCUAAUCGCCCAUUGAAAUUGAUAGAUGAUUAGGAAUUUAGGAGCACAAAGGCUGCUGUGCUCCUAAUAGCAUAGUAGCCAUGCUCUCUCUCUCUAGUAUGCUAAUAGCAUAGUAGCCCUGCUCUCUCUCUAGUAUGCUAAUAGCAUAGUAGCCCUGCUCUCUCUAAUAUGCUAAUAGCAUAGUAGCCCUGCUCUCUCUAGUAUACUAAUAAAAUUGAAUAUUUUCAUAUGAGCAUAAUUUGCUAUUUUACUCAUAACUAAUUAGAAUAUUAUAAUUUUUGUAUAGAUAUAUAAGACUAAAUUCCAAAAUGAUAAUAUUAUAUUAGAGAUAUUAAGUUGUUAAUAUCCGGGGAACAUUGUCAUUUUGCAUAAAAGUGCAUGAAUAAAAUUUAUUUGAUAUUUUUAAUCUUAAACUUACCAUAUUAACCCUUAAUUUUACAUUCACAAUAUCACAUGGCUUGAUUGAAUUGAUCAGGUCCCUUUAAGAUAAUGGAUAAUCCUAUUCAUGUUAAAGAUCUUGGAAUGAUUAAGCGAAAUCCUUUCUCAUGGACAAAGGUAUGUUAUACUUUAGGUUUUAUGCAUAAAGUAUUGUUACUAUUAUUUUACUGUAUUAAACAUUACAAAUAACAAAAAUACCAUUUCCUUUAUAAAACACAAAAAAUAUGUCAUUCUAUUAUUUUCUUAACCACUGAUAUAUCUGUAUUCUUUGCACAUUUGUAUGUUUUACAAUAAUUACAUUUGUAUUUGUCACGCCCGAGGCUUGACCGAAAGUAGCCCCAGUGGCGUACCAAGAUUUGCCAUGUGCAUAGGACUCCCCCUUCACACAUGACAAAUAACAAUAACCAAUUCAUGCAAGAAACAAGAGUUUCAUAUGAGUUGAGUAUCAAAGGAUAAUGCUACUAUUCUAUUACAACCAAGUUCCAAACAAACUACUACAAAUUUGAUCAAAAUAUUACAACUCUAUCAAAUGACAAAGUUCUACAUAGGGUUUCACCUCAAACAGUAACACAAAAUGAUGGUUGGGGAGCUAGCUAUAGCACAACACCCUUACCACAAUCACGUAUAGAGAAAGAAGGAACACUAAAAAUCAAGCAACAUAGGGGCGUGAGAACUACAUAAAAUAGUUUUUAAUAGAUACAAUCGCUAUGCAAAGUGCUUUAUCCACUAGAUCUAUUAGAAGCAUAAUACUGAAGAAUGAAAUACAAGGUACUAAAACAACAUAUACUUAUAACACGAAAAAUCAACUAUCGUGCCUCUACAAUAGCACAGUAUGUCAAUCAUUAUCUCUAUAUGCAUCAGUUUACAUGAUUAUAAGUUGACUACUCAUUAACUAAUUAUUUCGACCAAUACAAAGUCCAUUUAAGCUUGCAUCUUGCCUAAUUGGAUGUCAAACAGUUACACACGAAUCCAUAUCGAUAAUCAACAACUAGGGGAAGGGGAACAAUUGCAUUAUCACUAGACUAUACGUCCGAAGGACCACUACUUGUAAGAAGCAACCCUCACAAGUUAAGUGCUCAUUAAGCUCACCUUGGCUAUUGCAAACUAUAAUCACAUAAUCAACUUACUAUGCCACAAUGGAAACACAUAUGAAGGUUUUCUAUCUAUAUUAGCAUUUUGUUGAAUAUUUAAUGUGUGUUUUCAUGAUUCGAGCUCUACAUGUUAUAUUACAUAUCCAAUUGUUAUUACGCCACUAUGACAUGCUCUCUAAGUGUGUUUCAUCAAAGAGAAUAAAUAACCAACAAUUACAAAGCAUGCACAUAUAGAUCUUCCAUCAUGUUCGACCUUGGAAACAAGGGUUUUCUACUUAUGUCCAUAAAUCAUUAAAUAAUAGAAAAUUUCUACUUGAACUAAGAUUUCUCAUGCAACAUAAAGUAGAAAGAUAACUAUAAACAAGAGGUAGAAGAUAUAGAGAAAGAUCACCAAUUUCGGAGACUCAAAACCCAUCGAUUCUAAAGAGAAGAUCGUCGAAAAUCCAAAUGAAGUUGUUGAGUCCACCAAACAAUCCUAUAAGAGGGUUUGUAACCUAUCAAUUUUAUCUAGAAGUCUUCUUAAUAAAAGUUCCAAAUCUAAACCCUAAAAUCCAUGUUCCACAAAUUUUUUAAAAACUUUCAAAACUAGACUAUUUAAAGUUGAAAGGAACAAGAACUCACUUCUUCCAAACUCUAUUUUCUAGAUUCAAGUUUUUGGAUCUAGGGUUGGGCUCUCCAUGAACUCUUCCACCACUUUUCUUACUCCAACUCCAAGCAUGGGAUGAGGUUGAGCUUGCAAAAUGAGAGAGGAAGUGGAAGUGGAGAUUUAAGAGAGAAAACAAAUAGUGGAGAGAGGAAGGAAGAAGAAGAUAAUAGAGAAGGUGGAGAGAGUGUUUUCUUGCGAGAAAUAAGGGAAAGGGAAAGAGAGAUUAGGGUACUUAUAGUUGCAACAUUAUCCCCUCGAAAUCCAGCCUGUAUAUAGGUGAGUAACGAUACUCGACCUUGAGUACUAGAACUUCCUCUUAGUGCCGGUACACCUCGAAGUUCCACAAAACUCAAGAGUUACAACAACAAAAAUAGCUCAAGAAAUAUGGUACUCUACCUCGGGUACCGCUUCAGGCAGAGUUCAGCAGGACCUAAAUGUUCUCCCGUUGAAAUUCCUAUCAAGUACCGGUUGCCCCUAAACUUUAGUACAGGUAUUCAAGUUUUGCAAGAUAUCGUCACUGGGAGAUGUUUACUAUGGAAUUUUAUCAAAGAAAUAUCAGGGUUAAGAGAUUCACGUGAGAAAAUGAAAAGUUCGGGACACUUUAGAGAUUAUUUGGAUAGUCAUGGAACAGCAUAUAGAUUUCCCUUGUUACUAAGCAAAUGAUCCUAUUGCUAACAUUUUUCAUCAAAAUAUUCUCUCCAACCAUAGCUACACAGAAGAACUCUAAAAUUUCCAAAACGCAUUCCUCUCCUCCAAAUCUAAACUCAAACACAAAUUAAAAUCUACAUCUCACAGGAAAAACUCCUAACCUACCAUCCAAUUCCAAGAAAUGGGUUGAAUCGCGCAUUCUCCAUGCCUCCCAAACUUGGUAUUUAAACUUAGAACCAAAAAUAAUGGAUUAAAAAAAAAAGAAAAAAAAAACAAACCAGAAAACAAGUGGAUUCUUCUCGAGGCGUCGAUGUCAAAAUCCUCCUCCCUGCUUGCCUUCCUCCUUCGCCGCCGGAGACCGGGGAGUUGUUGCCGGUCUCCGGCAACAACUCGCCGAAGAAGGGUUUAGAAGGCGGUGCGCCGACUUGGAGGGACACGGUGGCGACGACGACGCGAGGAAGGCAUGUAUUCAAAAGAGGCGGGCAAACCUUUGUUUUGGGUGGGGGGAGAGAGUGGAGGGAGAUGAAAAGCCUAAUAAAAAAGGGGCAGGGGGAUUUUAAUAAUAAUUAAUUAGUAAGCUUUUGUUUUGUUUCCCGCCUUAUAAAUAGCGACCCUAAACCUAGUACCGAUAAUUUUUUUUUUUUUUAAAGAGAAAGAUAGUAUGCUAUCCGUUUCGUUUAUUUUAUUUAAAAAAAAAUUUAGCUGAAAAUAUAAAUUAAUUUGGAUUCGAACUUAGGUCUCGGGUACCAACCACCAAGCCCUUUUUGCCACUUGCGUUAGGGACGGUCGGUGCAUCAGUAAAAUUUUGACUGUAGAAAGCAUUGGCAUAGGCAUUUUUUUUUUUUGUAGUUCGGAGAAAUGGCCAACCUAUAGGUUUAGUUUUGGAACUUUAUUUUUCGUGCCAUUUUCAUACCAAAUCAGUUUCAAUUCAACUCAAUUCUUCCAAAACCUCACAAAUGGCAUCAAAGGCCAUUCUACACUGAAUCUUUGCAAUUUACAAAAUUUAGUAUACUACAAUUUUUUGCCAUUUUUUUUUCAUGAUUUUUGCAUCAAUUUUUAGUGGGGAGAAAGGAAAUGAGAAAGGGAAAGAGUGGUCCGCUGCGGAAAAAGAAAAGAUUAGCCCAUUUUGCAGGAAACACCUGCACGUAUGAGAAAUUGCAAUUUUAGUCCAAUUCUGACCUAAGGAGCUUAUUUGGAGUCUUUCAGAAUGUCAGUUUAGGCUCGAAUUGCACAGACACUCAACUAAAAUUAAUUAGUAGUAAUUUACUAUAACUUUUUGGAUUUGGACCACUUUUGACCACCAAAAAUCCUACCAAAUAGAAUUUUCUAUAGAUUAUGGAUACGCUUCAUUUUCACUGCUCGGAUAUCUGAAUGAUGGAACUUUAAAUUUAGUCCCAAUAAAUUAAAACCAGGGACUUCACAAAGUUUCAUAAUUUUUUCCACUGUUAAUUUUCAGCCGAAUUAUUAACAAUAAACAUUUUAGGGUACUUAAUUCAUAGAAAUUUUCAAAAUUUUCAUUUUCGUUUCGCUUUCGGCAGAAAUCAUUCUAGAUUAUCUUUUACUCUCCCGAACUCUUUCUAAUCAUAUGUCAUACAACUCUUAUAUUCAUUUUGUCUGUUUGGCUAAAGUUCUUUAUACUAUAAGUUUGUUAAAAGAUUGAUUCUUUAAUGUGUUUCAAGGUAUCCAGCAUAAUUUUCGUGGAUUCUCCAGCAGGGACAGGGUAUUCUUAUGCAGACAAAGAAGAAGAUUAUGUCACAGAUGACACUAAAACAGUAUUGGAUUUAUAUGACUUCAUAAUAAAUGUUAGAUUUAUGAUCAUUGUCUUAUUUCGUUAACAUUUCUUUGCAAUUUCGUCACAAAAAUAUUUUAGUAUUUCAUAUAAGUCCCUCAAAACUUGCUUUGCAUGAUAGUCCCUAAAUCAUCAUCAAUUGCCUUGCUAGUUCCCUAAUUUAUUCUUAAUAAUAUUUUUUAAGAAAUGUACUAAUACGUCACAAAAGUAUUUGGAGAAUAUAUAUAUAUAUAGAUGGUUAGAGAGNUUAGAGAGAAGAGAAUAGAGAAAAUAUACUAAAGGCAAAUGGGCAUUAUUCAUUUAGUCAGCUGGAUUAGAAAAACUUCGUAGUACUAGUACACACUAAUCGCAAUGGGGCUGGCAAUCCAGCUCGCUAUUGGUGGGCAGCUUGUGUUCGGCUCGAAAUUAACUCGAAACCGAUUGCUCAUUUAAUAAACAAGUUGAAUACGGUUGAAAUUUUAUCUCGAAAUCUUAACAAGCCGAGCACGAACUAGAGUCAACUCACUUAUGUUCAGCUCGAUAUAGCUUGAAUAUAUAUAUGUAUACAGGGCCUUCGGUAUUAUAGUCUCGUUUUCGAUCAUAGGAUGUUCAAAUCAACGAUCCACACUAUUAAAACUGAUAUAAGGUAUUUGAAAUUUUUAGAAAUAAAAUUUUAUAUUUUUUCUACAUAGUUACUUUAUGAUCAAACCAUUUCAAAUUUAUCAAUUCUCAAUAGUUACUAUGGCGAAUUUGCAGUUUAACGGUGUAGAAGAUUCUAAAUUUAUUCAAAUUUUGAUAGAAAAUAUUUUAAAUUAUCCAAAUCAAGGUCAACAUCCUUGAUCUUGAGUUCAAAAGUCCUAUCCUCAAAUUUUAAAGAUUAUUUAAUUUCCACCAUUCUUUUUACAUGAUUUAUUUACUGAGUAAACGAUGUUGAAAAAAAUUAAAAUUUUAUUCCUAAGAACUUCAUAUACCUCAGAUCAUAUUUGACGGUGUGGAUCUUUGAUUUGAAUACCCUAUGAUCGAAAACAAGACUAUAGUACAUGAGCUCCGAUACUAUAGAUAGUAUAGUAGCCUCAUUAUUUAUAUAUAUAUAUAUAUAUAGAGAGAGAGAGAGAGAGAGAGAGAGAGAGAGAGAGAGAGAGAGAAAGAGAGAGAGAGUGAGAGAGCAGGGCUACUACGACGCUAUUAGGAGCACAGUAACUUUUGUGCUCCUAAGUUCCUAACCAUCCAUUAAUUUCAAUGGGCAUUUAGGGUGAGAGAGAGAAAAAAAAUUAGGAAGAAAUUCAAAGAGAAGAAAUUCAAAUAGAAGAUAAAUUAAGACACUCAAUUUCUACCCAAUUUAUCUAGUUUGUUGUUUGCGAGCCAACUUGCGUUCGGCUCGUUAAUAAAUGAGACGAACAUGAGCUAGAUUUUUCAGCUCUAUAUUUUAACGAGCCAUGCAGCUCGUGUUCAGCUCGUUUAAUAAACGAACGAAUACGAGUCGGUCCUAACUCGCUUUUGUUUAGCUCAUUGAUAGCCCUAAAAUCACAGUGAUGUAAAAGACUAUCAUGCAAAUAGUAAACUUUGAGAAACCUGUGUGCAAGAAAAUAUGAUUUCAAGGACUGAUAUUUAAAAAAGAAUUUGUUUAAUAAGUGGAAUUGUUUAACUAAUAUUUUCGGUUUUUUCUUUUUAGUGGUUCUCCAAGUAUUCUGAGUUCAUCUUAAAUCCUUUCUACUUGGCUGGGUGCUCCUACAGUGGUGUGGUAGUGCCAAUGCUCGCACAAGAGAUAAUGAAUGGUAAACAUAUUUAAUGAUGCAUUACAUUCAACUCUUAUUUCAAAAGAUUUAGGCAAACAUAUACGAAAAUAAUCUAAAUUGUGGUCUCUUCAAAAGGAAAUUUGAAACUCGAACAAUUUUGAUUCUACUACUUGACGUUCGUUCAAUUAUUUUGUCCUGUAAUGUACCGAACUUUGGCUAAAGUGACAAAGUGCAGAUUAAAUCAUGAUAAAAGCGUGGUGUGUAGAUGUAUGGAUGCAUUGGGUGUGGACAAUAAUCUCAUAUCAAAUAAAUUGAAAGAUUGGGUAAUGCAAUCCAAUCUGUCGAACAUAUAGUAGUUAUUUUCAAAUAAGGGUGUGUUUGUUUGGCCGUAAACUAUACCGAAUUUACUUUUCGGCUUGAAAUAUUAUUUUUUGUGUGUUUGUUUAGCCGUAAAGAAAAUUUUCGAAAAACUAUUUUUAUAGAUUUGAGAAAAAUGGAGUGUUUUGUUUUCCACCGAUUUUCGACGGAAAACGAAAACUCAAGCUGCCUAAAUCCUUUUUCCUUCAUUUCUUUUCACCAAACUAAAUAAAUGUGAAUUUUUUCCUCUCAACCAAAUAAAUAUUCAUGAAAAAUUACUUCUUUUUUUUUCCUACAAACCAAAUAUUACGAAACAUAAAACUUUUUUUCCCACUAAAAAUAUUUUCUACAAAAAACCAUGGUUCACAGUUUUAUGUACGACCAAACACCCCGUAACCGAAAGUUUCUAUUAAAUCCACAUGCUUUAAAAGUUUUAUGAGUUUAGUGCACGCGAUGAAAUCUACAUUGCUUAUAUGAUGGUAACAACUAACAAUUUCUUUAAAAUUCGUGAUGUUUACAAUUUUUGUACAUGCAUACUUAUCUUUUGUCAGGAAAUGAAGAAGGUAUUAGAACGAAGUUAAACUUUAAGGUAUGUUUUAGAAUUUUUGUUUCCUAAGUUCCAAAAAAAAAAAAUUAAGUGAUAAAUCUCUAUCGUUUUUUCUCUAUAUUUUUUGACUUAUCCAAUCAUUUAUAUAUAUAUUUGGUGAUCUUAGGGUUACUCACUAGGAAACGCUGCAAUUGACAUAAACAUAGAGAAUAACGCAGCAGUGACUUAUGCAUAUCAGCUCGGACUCAUAUCAGAUGAGCUAUAUAAGGUCAUUUCUUUGUAAUCAAAUAAUGAUACUACAUUCAUUUAUGACAUUUUAUUUUUAUUUUUAUUCAUAUUGUUGGUUUAAAUGGGUCAGCAUUCUAUCCUGUAGUGGGAGGUUAGGUUAAUUAGGUUGAGUUAUAUUCCAAAUGACUAGGGGCGAAUUGGGCCGAAUCACAAUAGAAACCCAUUGGCGUUGUGUUUAUACACUUUUAAGUGAAUUAGCUAUAUAUUUCUAACAAGAGUAAUGCUUCUAUACUUUUCUUUUUUUGGUUACCGUUCAUUCACGCGUAUUCAACGGCUCAGAUUUAGUUUUUUUUUAAAUUGUGACCUGCAAUAGCAGGUCACUUUGGGACAGGUACCGGUUACCAGGUACCUCAAAAAAGAAUAUUUUUGUCUUUUAAUACAUGAGCAAUUUAGUCAUUUUACAUCUACUAUAUUUUCAAAAUUUUUAUUUUUUCUUUGUUUCCUUUUUCUCUCUCUAUCUUUCCUUUCAUAAUUUAGCAUUUUAUAUAAGAAAAUUUUCAAAUGAUUUGACAAUAUGAUCAUUGAAUUUAAACUUUAAAUAGUAAUAUGAAAUUCCUCUAAUUUAAAUUUCACUUUUAAAUUUAAAAUUUAAUAUUAUAUUCAAAUUUAUAUUUUAAAAAUUUAAGUUUCAUAUAAAUACUUUGAAAUAUGGUAAACAGAAAUAAUUGUUUGAAUUCUAGUCUUCUGGUUUAGGUUUGGUUUUGGGUUUCGAAAAAUUGGUCAGUUUUGAAUUUGGAUAUGGAUUUUUGAAAUCCGUCGAGUUCGGAAAUAAGUUUUGUGAUUGUUAGUCAGAUUCGAAUUCAAAUUCCUAACUAUUUUUUUUCUCACCAAUAAUUCUAAUCUUUUUAAUUUAUAUGUUUAAAAUUAUAUUUAAAAUAUUUAUUAGCUCUAACAGUUAAAUUAUCAUUCUGUUUAAAAUAUUUAUUAUCUUUACCGGUUCCAAAUUGUUCUUAAUGUUAUUCGGUUCAAUAGGUUAAAAUCAGAUUCUUGAUAGAAUAGGUCAAAGUCUGAUCAGUCAAAUCAAUCGGUUCAAUCUAGUUUUUAAAUCAUUGAAUUUAAAAUUUAAAUAGUAAUAUGAAAUUCCUCUAGAGAAAUCUAGUUGUAGAAAUCUUACUCUCUAAGUUUUUUAUGCAUUACGUUUUAAACUGGUGCGAAUAAACUGUAUUUUAAAUCUUGGUAGAAAUUUAGUUUUUAAAUAGUAAUAUGAAAUUCCUCUAAUUUAAAUUUCACUUUUAAAUUUUAAGUAUUUAAUUUUUAAAAUUUAAAUUCAUCGUAUUUAGAAAUAAAACUAUUUCUAAAAUUUCUAUAAUUUAAAUUAAUGCAUAAUUUGAGAAACACUAAAACAUUUAAAGUAGAUUCCUAAAUUAAUGCCUAAUAAUUGCAUAAAUUUGGUUAAUCAAUUAAUUUCCUAAAUUAGUGUUAAUUAAUGCAUAAAUUUAGGACCUCAAUUAAUUAAAAGUUUCUUUAAAUAUUGUAUUAUUUAAUUACCAAACUAACCUUGAAUAAAAUAAUCCUUUUACCUGCUAAGUAUUAAAGUUACAUUUUUACCCUCUAUUAAUCAACGGUUAAGAUCUUUUUUAUUUUUUUUUUAAAAAAGUACCGAAUCAUUUCUCUUCUAACAAUUAGAGCCUUUGGGAUUAAUGGUUAAUGCCAACGAUUCGACGAGUGAUAUUAGAGCUAGAGGUCACGGAUUCGAUGGCCAGCAUCUUGUCUUAUAACGGGAGGUCAGGUUAGGUCGAGCCAUGUUCAAAAUAGCGUGAGGUUGGUUGGGCCGAGUUACAAUCAAAACCCGACUCGUGGGUGUGCUAUGACUAUACGCUUUAAGUGAAUUGGUAGUAUAUUUCUAACAGCAAGAGCUUUUGGGAUUAAUGGUUAGCGUCUACGAUCCGACACACAUCACCAUUACUUUUUUCUCUAUUAAUAAGAAAAAUAAUUUCAAAUCCAUUUAAAUUUUUCUAAUUUUAAAUUGUCAUAUUAAAUUUAAAAAGCUACGACUUACUAUAUGAACAAUAAUUUGUUAGAAUCAACCACACAAUGUGAAUUUGUUACGUGGUCUAUUGAGGGUUAGAAACUUAGCAAAAAUUCAUUCUAGAUAGUAAAUUAAAACAAAUUGAUUAUUCACAUAAUAAACUUUAAUUUUAUAUAUUAUGCGUUGCAAUCUAUAGCAAAAGUUGACUAUAUGGCAAUAGAGCUUAUAUGUUUCUUUACUAAUAACUCAUGAAUAGAAUUUGGCUAGCUCUUGUGGUGGCAAAUAUUGGGAUAACGAUCAUCCGGAAUGCUUGAGGAACUUAGAAAAUUUUCAUAUGGUAAGAGUGAGAUUUUAAAUCAUGCAGUUUUUUUUUUUUUAAAGAUAACCUAAGUAAAAUAAUAUUAAUGGAAAGCCAAAAUUUUUAUUCGAAAUUUAUCGUUAAUUUAGAAUGCUUUGGUAAAAAUGUAUUGGUGUUACAUGAACUUUUGCGAUUUUGAAAUAGGUACUUUCGUUUCAACAAUUUUGAUUUUCCUACUCAAUCUUAUACUCUUUUGGAUUUGAAAAAGUGUUUUUAGAAAAUUUUAUCAAAUUCUAUUAGAGUUGAAUUGUUAACAAAAAGAAUUUUAAAAAAUAUUCUAUCAAAUAAUAAAAUAUUUUAUCAAACACUAAAUGGUUUGUAAAAGAAAAUUUUAGGUUUGAUAUAUAAAUUUUUAUUAUAUUAAUUUAAUUAUAUAUCUGUUUUUUUGCAUGCAGCUAACCAAGGAUGUUAACAAAGAGCAUAUUCUUUGUGCACCAUGUCAGUAUGGAUUGGAAACAUGCAUGGAAACUACUGGAUAUGAAUCUACAAAAAUGUUCGAUACCCUCUCCGAAGGAGAAAAUUAUGACAUAUAUUGUCACGUUAGUACGAUGUUUUACAAAUUACUCGAUGAUAAAAUAUAGUUUUUAUAUAGUUUUUUUUCGCUCUAUAAUUUAGGAAUUUCACCUUAAACAUUAUGAAACAUUAUGAAAUGCUUUUUUUUCAAAUAUAUUUGUUGAUAGUCUAAUUAUUUUGGUAACAGAGUUUUGAAGUAACGCCACAAAGGCUCUUCAACUUGAGAACUACAAGGGAAGAUCUCCAUGCGAAGCCAGUAAGGGAUUUUAAUUUAUUAAUUGCAAAAUGUGUUAAAUUGCAUAUUACAUCUAUUAUCACUGAGAAUAAUAAUGGUAUAGCUUUUACAAUAAAAUAUUGAUCUAAUACUUGUUAGAGUGAGAUCAGUUUUAAGUAGGUCAAUUAACAAAAUGGAGACUUUGUAAACAUGGUAUUUCAUCUUGUGAAACUAUGUAUUAGAUCUACAAAAAUAAUGAAAUACUUUACAACGAUCAGACACACUAGCAAUAAUAACUUGUUGGUCCAAUCGGUUCAAAAUGUUUAAGUCCAAUUAUUAUCAUUAGGGUCCAUGGUGCCUUAUAUUCCUAACUGCAACUCCGUUCUCAUUCAAUAUGGGACUACUGGGGUAUCACAGACUUACCAAGUCUAGAUCCUGACGUCCUCAUUAAUACUCACCCCAUUUAGGUCCUAAUGUCCUCGUCAAUCCAAACACACAUAGCUUAAGAUCACCAAGCGAUGUGAGGCUUACCCCACAUAUCUAGCUGGUGAAUCUUCUCUAAUACCAAAUAUAACAACUUGACCCACUAGCAAUAAUAACUGGUUGGAUCCAAACCACUGGUCCCAAAUACUUAAGCCUAAUUAUUAGUUCUAGAAUCCAUGGUGCCUUCUAUUUCUAAUCACAACCCCGGUUUCAUUCGAUGUAGGAGACUAUUGGGGUGUUAUAUGCUUCAUUAUUUUAAGUUCACUAAUGACAAUAAUAUGAUUACCAAGAUAACUGUGACACCCCAAUAGUCUCACAUCGGAUGAAAAUGGGGUUUUCAUUGGGUAUAUAAGAGAACUCAAUCAUAAUAAUAAUAACCGGGCUUAAGCAUUUUGAGUCGAUGGUUUUGGUCCAACGAGUUAUUAUUACUGGUGGGUCGGAUCGUUACAUUUGGUAUCAUAGCUGGUUCACCAGCCGAAAAUGUGAGAUGAGUCUUGGCCGAGUCAAGGUUGGAAUGACAGACUAAGCUAGGGGCGAUGAAUGAUAUGCGAAGUCAGGGUCGGAAUGACAAGGCUAGCGAGGCAAGUCUCAUAUCGCCUGGUGAUCCUGGGAUGUGUGUUUGUUUAGGGUUGGUGUCACGCCCCGAGCCCGAUCCCUUUUGGCCGGUUCGAGAGCGUCGACAGACGCCGAACGGACAGAGUUUUCCCCGUCCGCCCAAGGCUCAACACAAGUAUCAAUAGAGUGCAAAUUUGCAUAAGCGGAAGUAUACACAAUGGCUUGCACGAGAACAGGCAAUAGCCAAGGUGAAGGAAUUAACCAUUCAGUAUACAAGUAAUAUGACUAAAUUUAAAUCACAUACAUGUAUCCAACUAUAAUCAAGUUCUGUCACAUUCUUGCAUCAUUUUUUUUUACAUCUCAUUUCUCCCAAAAUAUAACUUUUGACAUUUAAGGUAAAUAUCCUUUACAUCAUUCAUUAAAGCAAGUUCAUAAUACUAAAAUCAUCAAAUACAAAAGAUGAUAGUAAAGGGUAUGCAACUACAAAAUGGAAUCCAUCUCGGGCGGUCUCUACCUAGGGCGCGAUGCCCUUACCGCGAUCAUCUGCCGGCUCGCUCGGUCCCGGCUCUGUGGAAAUAGUGGGGUGAGAACUACAACAAAGUUUCCAGUGGGUUCGGCAACCAACCACGACUAUCCCACUAGGUCUAAUCAGGCAUAAUAGAAGAAAGAAUAGAUAAUAACCAACUAACAAAUGCAGCUAAUAUGCCUGAACGAUAAAUAAAACUAUGCUCGAUAGAAUGCUCAUGAUGAAUGCAAGAUUAACUUUUCAUUACCCAAUCUCAUGGCUAGCCCGUAGGUUUCGCCCUCACAAACUCACCAACCCAAAUCCCUAUUGUCGGGGAGAUAACCGCUACGACCCGACGGGACCGCCCUCUGGGGAGAUAACCGCUACGACGCAGUGAUGACAACUCCGGAGCACAUCGCCCGAGGGGGAGCUACCGCCCUCGAGCAGGACUAUUAGGUGAGUACGAUCAAUCCUUAACUUUAAGGAUUCCAAGUUCAAUCCAUUCCUUGACUCCAAGGAGAACCAUGUUCAUAUGACCCUUAACUCUAAGGUGCAUUUGUCAUAAUGUCACUAACCCAAUUCACUUGCAUUCUCUAACCUCUACUAGUGUCAUGUACACUACUUGAUCUUGUUCUUUGUCAUUGAUGCCACACUUGUUUUCUAGGUGCUAUGUUCUUGUACUCAUGCCACACUUUAUGUCUAUGUCAACAUGUCACAUUUGUUUACUAACCCUUCUAGGUUCUUGUCCUUUGUCAUGCAUAUAUAGGGUUACCAAUUCUCAUUCAUUUACUACUAUUUUUCAAGCAUUAAAACUCAUGUCAUGCAAUAGAAAUUUACAAUUAACCCUACUAUACAACAUGCUCAAUAUAAGUACAUAUGCUCAAAUAUGACGCUUUAGACAUAAAAGGAUUUCCGAUGUCCUUGGAAUGCACCACCCACCUUAGAUGGUUACAAGGAUGCUACAGUGAAUUUCUUGGAAUUUUCGAAGCCCUAAUCCGCGUGCUGCGGCUAUCUGUACGGAAAACGAUGUUUUUGUAAAUAACUUUGCGCACACUCGUCGGAUUGUCGAACCGAGCGUUCCAACGCGUUUAAAAUACCCUCAAUUAGGUUUCUACACGAUCAAAAUAGAUCGAAACCUCACUUGGGCAAAACCCCUCUUUGGGAUGCCCUAACAUGCCAUUUUUGCAUUUCCCCUAAAUUGAUCUCAUUGCUAAGCAAAAGAAAGCUUAGAUACACAUGGGAAGCUCUCUAAUAAGGUUUUCAAGCUUUUAGAACCAUCCCUAGGGCAUCUACUUUGAGCCCUAGAGAUCCACCAUGAGAGGGGUCCAAGACAACCAUGGAUUUCAUGGUUUCAAGGUCCCUAGAGGGUUUCCUCACUUGUAGAGAGAUCAAAACCCAAAAAUCUAAGGUCUAAACCCAAACCCUAAACUCAUUUUUGCAUAAGGACUCACCUUUGCCCAAGCUCCACCCAAGCCUUCUUGUUGGAGAGCUUCUAGAGCCACCCAAGCCUCCAAAUCCACCUUCUCCAAGCUUUUCUCCUUCUUCUCCAAGCCCUAGCCCAAGCUUUUAGAGAGGGAAAGAGAGGAAAUCAGAGGGAGAGGAGAGGAGAUGGGUUUUGCUGUGAAAAUGGGAGAGGAAUAGGCCAAAUAACAUGUUGUGACAUUUGCAAUUAGGCCCCUCAACUUAAUUCUGUAGCAGACUUCACCCCUGCUGCCAGAGCCCCUGUGUACCGGUACACGGAUUUGUGUACCGGUACGGGCCUGCGCAGAAGCCCAAACCCAAGAGCAGACCCUCUCGGUUGCGCAGUUUGUGUACCGGUACACGGGUCCCGUACCGGUACACCUUCACGCAGACUCAAACCCGAGAGCAACCAGUGCUCGGGUCGCUUGCUGUACCGGUACAGCCAUCAUGGCGUACCGGUACACAAUGCUCCAGAUUUCAGGUUUGGCUCCGAUUCGACUCUACUACGCGCCGAUCGAUGCCAAACUCAUACUAAUACCUCUUUAACUCAUUUUUGCCCUUCCAAACGUGUUGGAAUGCAAAAUGGAACUCACCAAUACAUUUCUCUCGACACUUUAACCAAUUUGAUUAAGGUUCGAUUAUCGUUUUCGGGUUUCGAUACGUUACAGUUGGCGAGUACGUCGGGGUCUAAACGGGGGGAGUCUGUGACACCCCAAUAGUCUCAUAUCGGAUGGGAAUGGGGUUGUCAUUGGAUAUAUGAGAGGAUUUCAUCCUAGUAAUAAUAACUAGGUUUGGGCCAGUGGAUUUCGCCUAAUGAGUUAUUAUUGCUAGCGGGUCGGGUCGUUACAAUAAUAAAAAGUAUAAACCCUAGGGAUGCCUAAAACACCUAUAUAUGGUGUUUUUCUUUAGGCGAAUCAUCUUGUAAAUUUCUCAAGAUGUUUUCACUUAAAAAGAUUUAAGAGAAAUGGAGAGUAGUUGGCUAUUGAGACUCAACAAUAAAAAUAAGAAUUUUGCUAAAAAAAGUUCAUUUGAAAUGGGGAGUAAAUAUUGUUGAAAUUCUAUAUUAGAAUAUCUAGACUAAACAAUUAAUUAAUUAAUAAUAUAUAUAUAUUUUAAUUAAUUAAUAAUAUAUAUAUAUUUUUAAUUAAUUAAUAAUAUAUAUAUGUUUUUUAUACUUUCUAAUGAUUUGAUUCUGGGAUAAAAACGUCAAAAUUAUGUUUUUUUGUUUUUUUCAGAGAGAUAGGUAGCAUGCUACCCAUUUCGUUUAUUUCAUUUUAGAAAUAAACUUAGCUAGAAAUGUGAAUCAACUAGGAUUCCAAGGCCCAAGCCCUUUGCCACUUGCGCUACGGAUGGUCGGUACGUUAAAAUUAUGUUGAUUAACAUGACAUAUUCGUAUAUCUAAAUACAUUGAAAUUUGUUAAUUUCAGCCGAAGGUCUCGAAACAAACUGAGAAACAAUCAAAAUUAUUAAAAAAAAUUUAAAAACUACGCUCUUACACUGUAUCUCGGAACAAACUAAUGUGUAUUUUUAGAUUAAGUCAAGGUUUAUAAUAAAUGUCGAAGGUAUUUUCUGAAUGAAAUCUUUCGACAAUAAUGAAGCAACAUACACCAAUUUCGAAUGCAAAGUACUUACUAAAGGCCCCUAUUAAAAAUUUAAAAAUAUCUCAGUAAAGUAUCUGACUUUUGCUAUUCUCGUCGGAAACUCAUAUUGUAUUUCUUUAUGUAUAGCUAUAUUCAAAAGUAGAAUUCAAUGUUGUUUUUAAUGGUAAUAGGGCGUUUUGUGAUAAUCAUGAAUUUAAUUUUCAGAUUGAAGUAUCAGGACCAUGGGAAAGAUGUUCAAAGCGUAUCCAAUAUCAAAGAAACGUUUUGAGUUUGACACAAUAUCAUUUGAAUCUCACAUCUAAAGGGUGUCGAGCAUUUUUCUAUAGGUAUGUAUGUAAUGUACAUGAAGAUUUCUUUUCGUUUCUAACAAAUCAAUUAAUAUAACUUUGUAUAUAAUGCAUAAAUUCGAGUGCGCUAUGAAGUAUUAAAAAAAAUAUCAAAAAGUAGAGCAAGGAUAAUUUUGUUAGGCCACAAAAAUUUUCAAAAUAUUAAUACGAUCGGAUUCUAACUAAUAACUAAUGAACAGAAGCAUGACAAAUACAAUUUAGGCAUGCUUAUUGAAAAAACAUUGUCACGAAGAUCACCAUAUAGUUUUAAGUUCAAUGUUGAAUAUUUUAUAUUGAUUUAAAAAUUUAUUAUCUAGCAAUAUUUAUGAAUACGUCUAACUGACUAACUUUAAAUCUGGUAAAAAUUAUAUUUACAAUUCUCAUGAAAAGAUCUAGUAAAGUAAUUCUAACCGAUAUCAAAAGGAGGCUUCGGGUUAUUAUGCAGUUUUGUAAAUACCAUCUAUCCAACAAGCAUUGCAAGCUAAAAGCAAAAAGUGUUUAAGGUAGUAAUUGUUUAUUAUUAUUGCAAUUUAGGUAUUGUUCUAUUCGUUGCAUAUGUGUAAUAAAGUUUAUCAUGCACCCAUAGGUUUCCACAUAAAAACUACUUAUAAUUUGAAGUUGACCUCAUUUGCUAGAAGAUUUGGAAGGUUUUCUAAAGAGAAUAGAGUGCAAUGAAUGUAAAUUUUAUUUGGGAACUUUGAGUAUAAAAUAAUGUUGGCAAUUUUUAGAAGAUUUGAAAUAGAAAAGUUUCGCAGUAAGAAGUGUUUUAUAAAUUCAAAACAAGGCCAUAUAUGGACAAGAUAUAAAUGUCACAUUUAGUUUAUAUUUAAUUUAAUUCUCUAUUUAUAAUAAUAGGUUUACAGAUUUAUAAGCUGCUUUUAAUUUAAUAUAUUUGCAACUUUUGUAUGACAAAAUUAUGAAAUGAGUAGUCUAAGCCACUAGAAGACAAGCAAUUUUUUAUCUUAUGAUGUCCCCAAAGCUCUAAAUUGGAAAAAUUGUCAAAAUACAAUUGUAAUGAUAUUUGUUGUCAUAAUUGAAUUAGUUUUUCAUAUUAAUACUCUCCUGUAUUAGCUAGUCAUUCAACAAUAGUUUGUAAAACUAUUAUAAUAUAUGAUUAUAUUACUUAUUGCUCUUUUGAUGAUCCCAAAAGAUUUAUUCGAUUAUUUUACACAUUAUUUAUACUAAUUUUCAAAAUAUUAAUUUUACUUUAGCUAAAGUUUGAUUAAUAUGAAAGAUUGCAUUACUCAAUCUGCUUAUCUUUUGUUGAUCCAAAAGUUUGAAAACUUGCAUCUAUAUACUAUAAUUGAUAUAUUAUAAUUAAAUUAGGAUAAUUUUUUCAUGAUUUUCUCAGUUUUAAAUUGAUUUUUAAUUAAGUAAUAUAAAUUUAUUUUUUGCCAUUUAGUGGGGAUCAUGAUAUGAUCCUUCCUUAUACCGCAACACUUGAAUGGAUCAAAACUUUAAACUAUUCAGAGAUUGAGAAGUGGCACCCGUGGUUCGUGGAUGAUCGAAUAGCUGGGUAAAUUUUUUUUGCUUCUAAUUCAGUCUUUUUUCUUUUACUCAUCUUAUUCAUGUGACUAUUUUUUUUUUUACAGCUAUGCAGUUCGUUAUGAAAAUAAUUUAUUAUUUGCAACACUUAAAGUAAGUAAUAACCAUAUAAUAAUAUAUAUGUAUAUUUUAAAGUCUAAAAAAUGCAACAAAUUGUUACCUGCUAAUUCUUGAUUAGCACAUUAAAAUAUGACAGUUUAUUUAUAAUUUGACAGGGAGCUGGUCAUUCUGCAAUGCAGUACAUGCCACGUGAAGCAUUUUCUGCCUAUCAGAGAUGGAUUGACGGUGCUGAAUCUCUUUAGUAAAACAUUCAUUAAGAAUGUAGUGGAGCUUAGUUUCAAUCUUUACAUUUGUUGAAUGUUAACUAUCAAUAAAGUGAAGAAUUUUUUCUAAAUGAGUUAAGAUCUAUUAGGAUUAACAUAAUUAUCAAAUAUAUUUACAUUUUUUAAUGAAUCUAUUUUUAGAUACAAAAUGUGUCUCCCCCCUUCCUCACUCUACUUGUACCUUCCACCAUUACUCCACUCUACCUAUGCAGCAUCUUACAAGAGAGAGCAACCCAGAAGAUUUUUAAAGGGCUUUUUUAUAAAAUAACUUUUUAAAAUUUUAUUAUUUAUAAAAUAAUCUUGUCAAAAUUAUAUUUAAAAAAUUAAUCUCUUAAAGACGGUGAAUGAUUCAUCGCUUUUAUAAAGAGCCUAAUUUCUCAGAAAAACGAUGACUCAUCCACCGCCUUUCACUUGUUUAUUGUUUCUUUCUAUAUUCCUAACAACCACAUAAAUAUCUCAACAAAUCACAUAUAAUCUUAAUAACCUGAAAAUUCUAAUAAUCUAUUCAUAUAAUCCUUACAAUAANGCGAUCUUGGGCUCAGAAUCUUCGUCUCGAAGUCGCGAAUCUAGCACGCCAAAUUUCGUCGCGUUUCGACACUCCUGCGCGGAAAACGAGCCGAAACACCGACGGUCGACACUGAAAUUCUGCGAAAACAGCACCAUGCUCGGAUUCAAUGGAGCUUGAAGUAGAGAAGAAAUCCAUGGAGGAAAGAGAGCUACCCACCUCUAACAGCGACUCCAAUUCCGGCACGGCGUCGAGAACGACGGAAACACAUCCUCGCCUAGUUUCCUCGUAACGCUACGAUCCCAACCGCACCCUCGAACGGCUUCGCGGCGCGUCGUCGGCGUCGAACUCGUGCUCGCGGCUACCUUCUCCGAGCUCUUUGCUUCGGUUGAACAAAGAGAGAAGUAGAAAGAUUAGGCAAUGCCCACCUAAUUGUUGAUAAGCAUGCAAAGGGUGCACGUGGCAUCCAAGCCACCCUAAUUUGCAUGCACAGGUGAACGUGGCAUCCAAGCCACCCCAAUUAGCACCAACCGACAUAAAACAUAAAUAAGUUAAUUAAUUAAUAAAUAAAAUAAGGAUACUACUAGAGAUGUCAACGGGUCGGAUUCGGGGCGGAUUUUUAAAAACCCGAACCCGAACCCGACUCCAAACCCGAGACCCGAAUCCGAAUCCGAAUCCGACGGAUUUUAAAAAUCCAUAUCCAAACCCGAACCCGACCAAAAAUCCGAAACCCGAACCCGAACCCGAACCCGAAAAUUUAAACCCGAAACAAUUACUUCUUUUUUCAAUAUUUCAAAAUAUAUUAUAUUAAACCUCAAUUUUUAAAAUACAAAUUCAAAUAUAACAUCAAAUUUUUAUAUAUAUAUAUUAUAUAUAAUACAAAAUAAAUUCGGGUUUGGAUCGGGUUCGGGUCGGGUUUGGGUUCGGGUCGGGUACAAUCAAAAUUCAUAUCCGAAUCCAUAUCCGUCGGGUUUCCAUUUUUGAUAUCCAUAUCCGAAUCCAUAUCCAUAUCCAGCGGAUAUAUCCGUUUCAUUCGGGUUCGGGUUCGGAU
RNAcentral lists this long non-coding RNA (50367 nucleotides) under Ananas comosus (pineapple). Its description in RNAcentral is "long non-coding RNA (ACOM_LNC030193)". The record is from RNAcentral. Lineage: Eukaryota; Viridiplantae; Streptophyta; Magnoliopsida; Poales; Bromeliaceae.